ACAGCAGCCCUACACCAAUUCAGCUGCCCCAUCCCAAAUGUCGACUGACCCAACCUAUUCCCAAACAGCCAAAUUCCUUUUUCCCUUUCCUCUUCAUCACAACGUAAAACAACAACUACUUCAGCACACAACAACAAAUGACCCAACAACUAUAUGAUCAGCAACACAGUCAAACAACACCAACGGCAACCUUUAGACCGACGAGCAUUACGAAAUCCAUUGGUUCAUCUCCACCUCUCCUCUACUUUCGUCUCUAUCAACAUCACCUGUUUUCCACCCAUCACUUCUUGUUGAAGUAGAUCAAAUCCCAAGGCUCUGCAUUUCCUGGAAAAGAUGGGAAAGUUCAUGGACCUUCACGUUUUGAGGUUAUUUAGCCCUUCAAACCAAUAGAUGUAAGCCUUUCUACCUUCAAACUAUCACUCGUCUUUCAAAUCAAUCGAAAAGGUGACUCCUUUCUCUUCUUUAUCUUUUUUCACCAUUGAAUUCAACCUGCAAUUUGUCUUCUAAAGGACGUUAAAAAUACAAUUACUUUUUGAAUUUUUUCAAGGCUUCUUUGAGAAGCUGGGCAGCCCAUAUUUUUCCUAUAAAAGAGGCUUGUUCACUCCUUUAGGGGAUAAGAACAGAGAUGGAGAAUUUAGGGGAAUAUUUUAAGUGCUAUUAUUUUUCUUUGCUUUAUUUUAUUUAGCUUCCGACUACACUUUCCUUACUCGUGUCGCUUUUCAUUGCUCACAUUAGAAGUGGUGUGAAAAUCGUUCAUCAACUCGUUGUUUCGAUACCCUGCACCAUAAAAAGUGACCUCCUGCGCUCUCCUCUCUGUUCAAUAUCUUCGUUUUUCAUUUUAUUGAUAUUUGUGGUAAUGUGAUUUUUUUUAAUGUUUUACGAAUAUUCUUGGAUUUCAUAUUUUAAGUAUCUAAUGUUGGAUUAGAUUAUUAACGAAUACAGUGCACGGAGGACAAGUUAAUGAGCGUUAUGGGAUAAAUGGAGGACGUCUCAUGGCAUUUGUCAUUUAUGAUUUCCCAAAUCUCCCUCCGAUACUUUCUUUUAUAUUGUUUUUAUUGGAAAGUUUUCUUUUAUGUCAGAGUAGCCUUGAACCUUUGGCUUUAAUUUGGAAUUUUUGAGUUGUUUAGUCAUAGAUUUUCAUGCUCUUGUCCUUUGGCUAAAAAAUGAUCCUAAAUGGUAUCUGGAUAGCAUUCUUUAUUAAUCAUAAGUUUAAGCUUCAUUGUUCAUGUCUUCUGGAAGCAUGGUUUGAAGCCUCUAGGGUAAAUUUUCAUUAAAUUUGUUUUCCCCUCCCUUAUUUUGUUUUCUGAUUUCUUUUUGGCAUAUGUAAUCCCCAAGUAAUUAGUUAACCUUUCUUUCCUCAUCAUUAUGAGUAAAGCGUGUUGGCUUGUCUAUCUACCUUUUUCUCUUUUCUUCAAAUUAUUCUCCGUUAAAUGUUUAGGAUGAUGCUUCUUUUCGAGUACAAAUAGUUCUUUGAAGUAGUAGAAGGAACUCUUUUUUUUCACUACCCAAAAGAUAUUUUAAAAAGAAAUUUUUAGUCUUGUCUUUUUAUUAUAUCGCAUUUAACCAAGCUUGUUUAACUAGUUUAGGAGCCAAGAAUGUUGUAGAAUUUUUUCCUCCUUGUCCAUGUAUGAAAUAAUUCUCAUUAGUUUUAUGACUUAGCUGUAGAUUGGGUACUCUUUGUCACAUACAUUAAGGGUCACUUUAAUUGUUUACUUUAUUUUGUUGAUCAAACUUUAUGUACCAGUUAAUUAUUAUAGAUACUAAUCCAUUCUCCUUGUUUCUUCUAUGCAUGAACUCUCCCUCAUCGACUCCCUCGGACUCUCAUUUCCCGUAUUUCGUGGGUUGAACCCAACCUCCAUUGACUCAAGCCCCAUUAAAAUCCAAAUAUGCAGGAAAAAACUGGUAUAAAAUUAUAUACAACUAAUAUGCAGUUGGAUGCAGUAGUUGUACACGUAUUAUAUGGUUUAUAAUAAUAAGGGAGUCAAAAUAAGUAGGUUUUAUGCUGAUAUACAUUGUAUACACAGCUAUAUACAGAAAAUGGAAGAAAAGGGUCUUACUGAUAUACUACUAUUAUACAUGCUGAAAAUGGGCCAGUCUAAAUCUGGACAGCUUGCAGCAGUGGGCCAAGAAGCCCAAUUCCUCUUCCCAACCUUUUAUUUGUUUGCAAACAAUUAUUUGUGUUUGUUUUCAUAUUAACACUAAUAUUUAAUUAAUUAAUUUACAUUCCCAAGAUAUUGCCAUUUUUAUUUUAUCUUCGUUUUUCCUUUCGUUACUUAUUUAUUAUUAUUAUUAUUAUUAUUAUUAUUAUUAUUAUUAUUAUUAUNNNNNNNNNNNNNNNNNNNNNNNNNNNNNNNNNNNNNNNNNNNNNNNNNNNUUAUUAUUAUUAUUAUUAUUAUUAUUAUUAUUAUAAAGCAAAAUUGACUUUAUGUUAAUCUUUUUGAACACAAACCUUUUCACAUUAAAACGACUUUUGUUUGUUCAAGUAAUAAUUAAUCUCAUUUAGAUUAAAGAGAGUUUUCUCAAGCAUGAAUAGAAAUGGAUCUUCAUAAAUUCAAAAGUUUAAACUUUUCCAUAAUCGAUUAAAUGUUCCUUAUUUCUUCUUAAAUCUAUCAUUUAAAAAUCAAGAUUUUAUAUUAACAUCGACCAUUAAAAUUAGUUUUUUUUUUUAAAAAAUAUUCUUUCCCUUAAAAUAAAAAUAAUUUAUUGUUACUAAAAAGAGGUUUUUGUUUAAAAAUUUUUUUUUCAAAGUCAAUUCUCUUUAGCUAAAAACAAGCCCUUUUUUCUUAAUGAAAUAAAAUUAUUUUCAAAAAUCACUCAAUUGAAUUUUGAUAUUUUCAUAAAAACUGAUAUUUUCGUAAAGUUAGUCACCCACUUAAGUUAGUCAAAAUAUUUUGGUCAACUGGUAUAAAAUAGACGUUUCUAAGUGCCUUAAAACAUUUCUUAGAACGCUAAUUGGACCCUUACCAAUUUUCUCUAAUUUUAAAAGUUUAUUUCUGUUUUUGAACCUUUAAAAUUUUUAAUUCCUUAAGUUUUCUUGAUUUUUCUAUAAAAAUUAAGUGGCGACUCUGUAAAUUUUUUGAGUUAUUUUAAAAAUUUUCUAAGUUUUGAAAUGAUUUAAGAAGUCAAGAACCAUUUUCUUACAAAUAAUUUGUCUUCCCUUUGACAAAUCAAAAAUGGGAUAAAAUAGUGGCCAGUGUGAGAAAGAAAGGAACCGAUGUUUUCAUUAUGUCCAGAUUGGACAUAUGGAGUGGGAUUGUCCCUCUAGAGUUUCUUCUGGGGCAAACAAGGUUCUUGUUGCCUCUUCAUCAGCUCCUGCAUCAAAGGGUGCCACUUCUAGCUCCGACACUAGUUGGAACUAUCUUUAUACUCUCACUACUCGUCAAGAGUCUGAGGCAUCUCUGGAUAUUAUCACUGGUAUUUUACGACUCUUUUCUCAUUAUGUGUAUUGCUUGCUUGAUUCGAGGUUUACUCUUUCUUAUAUUAACUUAUUUGUGGCUGUGAAUUUUGGUUUUGGUCUUGAGUGUAUCCCUGAUCCCUUUUCUAUUUCUACCUCGGUGGGUGACUCUAUGGUUGCUAGGAUAGUUUAUAGGGGUUAAGUGGUAUCUGUUGGUGGUAGAGAAACUCUAGUAUAUCUGAUAAAGUUAGACAUGAUUGAUUUUGAUGUCAUAUUGGGGAUGAAUUGGUUAGAUUCAUGCUAUGCCUCCUUAGAUUGUCGCACCCAUAAGGUCAUGUUUCAAUUCCCUAAUAACCCAGUCAUUGAGUGGGAAGGGGGUUCUCUAGUUCCUGCGAGAAGAUUCAUAUCAUAUCUUAGAGCCUGGAAGUUUAUUUCCAAGGGAAGUCUUUAUCAUUUGGUCUGGGUUAAAGAUUCAAAUGCGGAGGGUCCUUCAUUGAUAUCUGUUCCCGUGGUUAAUGAAUUUCUUAAGUUUUUUCCUGAUGAACUUCCUGGUAUCCCUUUCGACAGGGAGAUUGAUUUUGGUAUUGACCUUGUUCCAAACACAUGUCCUAUUUUUACCCCUUUAUAUCGAAUGACUCCAGCUGAAUUGAGGGAACUCAAGGUGUAUUUGAAAGACCUUUUAGACAAUGGUUUCAUCCACCCUAGUGUAUCCCCGUGGGUUCACCUAUUUUGUUUAUGCAUAAAAAGGAUGGUUCUCUUCAUAUGCGCAUUGAUUAUCGGUAGUUGAAUAAGGUGACAGUAAAGAAUAAGUAUCCAUUUUUAGAAUUGAUGAUUUGUUUAACCAAAUAUAGGUGCUAAAUUAUUUUCUAAGAUCGACUUUCGAUCUGUAUAUCAUCAGUUAAAGAUUAAGGAAGUGGAUAUUCCUAAAACAACUUUCCAUACCCGAUAUAGGCAUUUUGAGUUCUUUUCCUUCUUUAUACUCUGGUGAUGGACUUGGGUAUAAAGAAGGAUUAGAAGAGAAGGGGUGGGGAGUGUUAAUCCAGAAUAAAGUGGAGUGGCUUGGCAUCAGUGAAUACGCUAGAGAUAGUGGAGAAGGUAGCAGAAAUAGGGGUGUGAGAGUGUAGAGAGACGUGGAUGGUAUGUGUGAUAGGGCUACUAUGUUCAUCAAAGAGACUACUAGAGAGGUGUUGGGUGUCUCGAGGGGCCAGGCUGGACAACAUCAGAGGGGAAAGGGGACUGGUGGUGGAAUUAAAAAGUUAAGAAGAAAGUAAAGACUAAGAAAGGGAUAUAUGCUAAGUUAGUUGAGAGUAAGGAUGUAGAGGACAAAUGGGUAAAUAAAGAGAAGUACAAGUAAGCUAGGAAGGAGGCUAAGUUAGCAGUUACAACUAUUAAGAAAACAAUAUUUGAGAGCUUGUAUGUAGGGAUAGAGGAGAGAGGUGGAGAAAAGAGGUUGUAUAGGCUUGCUAAGGCGAGGGAGAGGGAGGGUUGUCACCUUAAUCAAGUGAAAUACAUUAAGAGGAAGGAUGAUAGAGUGCUGGUGGAGGACGUUUACAUUAAGAGAAGAUAGAAGUCAUAUUUUCAUAGUCUCUUGAAUGAUAAGGGGGCUGAGACAUUGUGUUAGGAGAACUGAAACACUCAGAUGAGGGUCAUGAUUUUUGUUAUUGUAGACAUUUUAAGGUGGAUGGAGUUAGAGAUGUUAUUCUCAGGGUAUAAAAGGGUAGGGUGAUGGGGCCUGAUGAAAUUCCAGUGGAUUUUUAGAAUUUUUCUGGCAGGCUGGGUUAAGGUGGUUGACCAAAUUGUUUAACGAUAUUUCCAAGACUUAGAAAAUAUCCGAGGCUUGGAGAUGGAGUGCUAUAAUUCCUUUAAUAAGAAUAAGGGUGAUAUCCAUAAUUGCAAAAACUAUAGGGGUAUUAAGUUGUUGAGUCAUACUAUAAAAAUAUGGGGGAGAGUGGUCAAGCAGAGAUUAAGAAGGAUAUUAUCUAUUUCAGAGAAUCAGUUUGGAUUUAUGCAUGGUCUAACGACGGAGGUAAUUCACCUGGUGCGGAGACUAAUGGAUCAAUAUAGAAAAAGAAAGAAGGACUUACAUAUGGCGUUCAUCGACUUGGAAAAAGCAAGACAAAGUCCUUAAGUAGGUUCUUUGGAGAUACUUAGAGGUGAUUGGGAUCUCGAUGGCAUACAUCAAAUCGAUUAAGGACAUGUAUGCUGGAGAAAGACUCAGGUGAGGAUGGCGAGAGGAGAUUCAGAGCAUUUCCCUGUCUUGAUAGGGUUGCAUCAGGGAUUGACUCUUAGCCUAUUUUUGUUUGCAUUGGUGAUGGAUGUGUUGAUAUGACGUAUUCAAAGAGAAAUGCCUUAGUUUAUGCUUUCUGUAAAUAAUAUAGUUUUGAUUGAUGAGACGCGUGGGGUGUGAAUGAUAAAUUAGAGAUUUAGAGACAAACCCUUAAGUCUAAAGGGUUUAAGUUGAGUAGGAGCAAGACAGAGUAUAUGGAAUGCAAGUUUAAUGACUUAAGGCAGGAUAACGAGGUGGUUGUAAGUUAGAUUCCCAGGUUGCUUGUAAGAGGGAUAGUUUAAGUAUCUCGAGUCCAUGAUUCAUGGUAAUAGAGAGAUUGAUGAGGAUGUCUCCCACCAUAUUGGGUCUAGAUGGAUACAGUGGAGGCUCUCCUCGAGAAUAUUGGAUGAUAGGAAGGUGCUGCCAAAGCAUAAAGGCAAAUUCUAUAAAGCGGCAGUCCAUCUGGCCAAGCUGUGUGGAGCAGAGUGUUGGCCAGUCAAGAACUACCACAUUCAAAAAUUUAAAGUGGCAGAAAUGGAUGUUGUGUUGGAUGUAUGGGCUUACUAGGGGUGAUAGGUUUAGGAAUGAGACUAUUAGGAAGAAGAUGGGAGUGGCUUCAAUGAAGAACAAGAUGCAGAAAGUUUGGAUGAGAUGGUUCAGACAUAUGACGAGGAGGGCUUGGAUGCCUUAGUUUGUAGGCAUGAGAAGCUAACUUUGGAUGGUUUCUGGCGGGGUAGGGGUAGGCUGAAAAAAUACUUGAGAGAGGUAAUUAGGUGUGACAUGGAACAGUUUUAAAUUACUAAGGACAUGACCCUAGAUAGGAAGUUAUAAAGGACGUGAAUUAGGUUAAAAGGCUAGUAUGUAUGGUGGGUCGUAGUCAGUAGUUAAGAGUACUUUGGGUAGCUGGGUCGGUAGUGUCUUAGGGCUAGAUCCAUAGGUUGGAGCUGCUAGUAGGAGGGUAUAGGGGUUGGGGGUACCUUUGGUUCGUUAGCGUAGGGAUAUUACUUUGUGGGUGUCUUAUUUCUAUUAUUCCAUCUUGUUUCAUGCUUUAUUAUGAAUUUAUUUACUAUUCUUUGUCUUGAGUCGGGGAUCUAUUGGAAAUGUCCUUUCUACUUCUUCAGAGGUGGUGGAAUGGGUUGUGUAUAUUUUACCAUCCCUAGACCCCACUAUGUGGGAAUACACUAGGUUUUUUUUUUUGUUAUUGUUGUUGUAGUCAUGACUUUUGGCUUGACUAAUGCCCCAAUGAUAUUCAUGGACUUGAUGAAUAGGGUCUUCUAUCAUUUUUGGGAUUUAUUCAUGGUUGUCUUCAUUGAUGAUAUUUUAGUGUACUUAAAGAGUGAGGUUGAUCAUGCCAAUCACCUCCACAUUGUGUUGCUGACCUUGAAAGAUCAACAGUUGUAUGCCAAAUUCUUAAAUGUGAAUUCUGGUUGAACGUCGUUAUAUUUUUGGUUUUGUAGAGGCUUUGUCGGAUUACUAUAGACUUAGGUGGUUUGUUUGAUUGUUUUGUAAUGGACGAUUAUCCAUGCACUGGUGGUUGGUCUAAACAUAUCAUGAAUUAUCAUAAUUUCUAUUAUACGCUAUCUUGUUAUAUUUUUGGAAUUCAUCCGAUAUUUGGGGAUAUAGUGUUGGUUCGGUUAGGAAAAGGGGGUGAUCUCUGGUCCACGUAAGACUGGAGAUACCCAUCAUGGCUAGGCUAGGCCCUGGUUCGGGUCGUGACACGUCCAAGCCAUUUUUCAUAUGUCCACUUAUUUUCACCGUUAGAGCAUUCCCAUAGCUGCCCUAAUUAAUUUUUGACUUUCUAGGACUAAUAGUUUGGUUAUCAAGCAAUUCGUUUGAUUCUUAGAGCCAAUUCCCUAUUUAGAAGUCUUCGUUGGUCCCAAUAGCCAUCAGGCAAAAAAUUCAGUAGUAUAAUCUCAUAUGUAAAUUCUGAUAGAGCCAGCAGCUCUGAAAUAUCAAUUUUAGGACAGGUAGAACUUUGGUUUUGCUCCCGAUGCACCCGAGCUCAUUUCGACCUAUUGGUCGAAAAGUUAGAUAAUUAGAAAUAUGGACGUAGGUCCCAUAUUUGGUUGAAAUAACCUCAGAUGAAAAAUCUAACUUAGCCAUUGUCUAGAACGUCAAAUUUAGUAGGGUUACAUAGUUUAUACGCAUAUAUCAAAUUCUGAAUAAAUCUAGUAGCCUUAACGAAAACUUGAAAAACUUCCAAGUUUCAGCUGUUAUCUGAUACCAGCGAUGGCACAUAGUGUGUACAGGAGAUAGUUUAAUCACACUAUGGGUAGUGGCAAUCGCAUCAUCUGUUCCUUCAGCCAUAUGGUGUGAUUGCACACCUGGGUGUGCUAUUGCAACACCUGAUUACCUGGAAGGGAUAUAAAUAGGCCUCUUAUGUCGCGAAUUGGCUGAUUUUUCACCUAUUCCUUGAGAGCAAAGGCCCUAAAGAGUGUGAUUGCUCAAAAUUGAGACUUGUGGGUGACUUGAGAGCUUGUUUAACUUUUCUUUUUCCAGAUUAUCAUUUGAAGUAAGGUAAGCUUUCAUCCUUUUCUUGGUAAAUUUUCUUGGUUCAUGAACAAAACCCCAAAUAGCUUGAGGGCUAUCUUUUAGCCUCAACCUAGCUUACUUUUCACCCAUUCUUGAGGAUUAUGAUUUCUUGAUCAUGUAUGAACAUUGGGUUGACCUCGAAAAUGUUAUUUUCAUAAGUGGGACCCCCACUUGGGGUUUUUGAUGUGAUUUUUGGAUACAAAGCACAAUGGUGCAAUAUGGUUAUCAUUAUUCUCGUAUUGAUAAGUAGAUUAUGAUUUUUAAAUAUUGUAGAGUGAAGACAAAUAAUUUAGGCGCAACUUAAGGAUUUAUAAUUCAGGAUUAAGAUGGAAUUUUGUCUACUAUUCUUCGUAAGAUGAUGUGUGUUAUAUAUUGCAAGUGAAUAUUAAUAUUAAGAUUGAUUAUAGGUAGAAUGAUUUAGUAUUGGGUAUUGAAGUUUGGGGAUUAGAUGAGGGUUUUGACCCGUAAGGUGAAAUGCUUAUUACACUUUUAGAAUCCUAUUUCCUUCUCCUUAGAUUGAACGAAUUCGUAGUAUGGAUAUGAUGCAAUGCUAGGUUAGGGAUGUGGUUUAAGCAUUGGAAGCGUGGUUAGUAUGAUUAACCUUAUUUGGACCAUUCUAGUAAGAUUAAAAUUGUGAUAUGUGUGGAGUUGACUUAAUUGUUCAUGUUCUAGGUGAAAUUCCUAUCUUAAGAUUGGUUAUGGCUUAUGUACCAUCAAGAAGUGAAUUUAGAUACCUUAGCCUAGUCCAGGGUGUAAAUUGCCUAACUAUGGAAUUCGAGGAUUAGAAGUGGGUUAUUUUUGGCCCAUCUUAGGCCAAGACUCGUGUUAGACCAUGUGGGCUUUUUUACAAAUGUUAGGCAUUGUUGAGACUAUUGAACCUUUAGUAUAGGGUUACUUUGUGAUUUGAUGAAUGGUGAUGGUUUUCCCAGGAGUAUGAUAAAUGGCCUAUAGAUGUAGGAUGUCUCAUAGAGGUGAUAUGUCUCAUAGUUGUGAUUUGUAUCCUAUGUUAGGGAGAGUGAUUCUCUGAGCCGGUUGGGAUUUCCAAUGCCUCAGGAAAUUGGUCGAGAUAGAUGACAACACCGGAUAUGAUAUGCCUCAUAGUUAUGCUAUGGCUUAUAGAUAUGAGAUGGCUUACAACUAUGAUUAUUGAUAUGAGUUUUGGAUGUGUAUAUGGGAUUAAGGCCAUGAUUAUGAUGUUGUAAUUAUUCUAGACAUAUUAUUGGGCCCAAGGCCGUGUUAUGAUAUCUGUUGGACAUGGGAAAGUAUUUAUCCUUGUAAAGGAUGCGAUUGUAGUAUAUGAUUAUAUUGAUGCUUAUAGUUCCAUUGUUCGAAUAUUGGUGAUGGCAUGCAUAGAUUUUGUACAUUCAUGAACAUUAAUUUGUAAAUGAUGUGAUUCUAACUAAAAUAUUUUCACGACCCAAACCAAGGCCUGGCUGUGACGGGCAUCCCAAGUCCACUGAGGACCAGAGAUCAUCCAUUAAGCCUAUUCCAAUACAACCAAGAACACCUAGCAGUGGAUGGAUACCAAUAAAAGAUAAAAUGAAAUAAGAAUCCAAAAGAAUCUGUAUCUAAUCAAAUAUCCAAAAAAAACCACAAUACCCAUAUCCACUGUAGUCCAACAAAGUCUCUAACAAAAUUGAAUACCAAUAAAGUAUUGGGACAUACCCCCCCCCCCCCCCCGACCAUAGACAAAAUAAAUCUAAAAUAAAGUCCAAGACAUAAGAAACUAAAACAUGAAAUGAAACUUCCAAUGUAUGGAAGCUCACCACUUCAAUGUCAACUCGUAGGCUGAUCCCAAAUCCUAGUCACUGUGGAAGAGGAGUAGAAGUAUGGUCAAAUCCUACAUCGCAUGGGGAUACAACGUAUAAAGACAGUUAGUGGUUAGAGCGCUAGCAUGUAACUCAGGGAUAAGUAAGUAAAGUAAUGCCAUGAUCCAUAAUAUGAAAACUAGUAAAACCCACGCACAAUAUCUCAUGCAAUAUAUACAUAUAUAUAUAUAUCGUAUGCCAGAAAAAAGAACAGGGUUUAGCAUUAACAUUAAAACCUUAACCUGGACUAUGUAGCUUGAUCAUCAUAAAACCACCCAUGGCUAUAUGGGUUUAGCUCCUCAGGACCCAGUGUGUGUUAACAACACGGCCGAAGAAAAAGAACUAGAGAUGACUAGUACAUCCGUAAAAUCUAAAGUGUGAUAUCAUGCACACGGUCACCAAGACCACCAUCACAUUGACAAAUAUAAGUUUCUAGUGUCGGUCCCCCUAGGACCUCCACCUUUCAUGGAUUUGCUACACAACCCCCUUUAAGCCCAUAUUAAAAUCAUUUACACAUUUUGAACCAUUUAUCAAGGAGUUUUUUAAUUAGGCAUUAACCGUUGGUAUCGUCAUACCAAUAUUAGAGCUUGUAAGUCUAUUACCUUAUGCCAUAUAAACCAUUAAACCAAAUUAGACUCCACUAUUUCCAAUUAAACUAAAACUAUUUACCAUCAAACCAUGGCCACCAAGGCCUUUCCAAAACCAUAUGAAACCAACCAGUACCAAUUCGUGUUCCUUUAACCAUUUAUGCAAUGCAAAGAUUUAAGAAUAGUCAAACAAUAUGACAAAAUUUUAUUCAAUGGAAAUUUCACAAACAAUUUGAGGGCAUAUAAUUUCCAAGACCAAAACCAAGUAAUUAGGGAAUCCAUGGUACCUCAAAAUUCAAUUUAUCAUUCCCAUAUACCCCACCAUAUUCACAAACAUUAAUAAAGCAUGAUUGUUUUGUAAUAAAUAAUGAAAAAAUCAAGUUAAAGACCAAUUAUGUCCAAUGCCCUCACUAAACCAAAACCCACAUCAAAACCAUGAAUUUGAUAUCAAUUUAUGCCAUUAAUGAAAUUAUAAAUUCAAGGGAAAUAGGAAAAUGCCUUAAUUACCAAUAAACUUGAAGUAGACAACAGCCUUAAGACCCUAGAUGACCACAUCCUUGAACCCUAGCCUUGACUUGAAAAGAAAGAUUUGAGAGAGGACUUUUUAGAGUGAAAUAACCUAUGUUGUGUCAUGAAAACUGAAGGAAAUAGGUUAAUAUAGUGUUUAGAGGUUAUUUAUAAGUGAAAGUAUAUCAAUACCACUCACCCAAGUAUAUAAAACCAAAAACUUCCCGAAUUUAAAGCAUCAGCGCAUCACGGAGGGUAAUCUCCAUGAUGAGCUCCAUAUCGCACUGUUAUCGUGGACCCUUACUUCCUCCUCGCAAAAAUGCUCAUAACUUUUCGCUCUAGUAUCAGAUUAAGAAAAAAUCAGAUUCCUUAGAAAGAGGACUAAAUUAUAUUUAAUUUGCUGGGUCUUGAGCCUUAAAAUUCCAUAUAUUCUAAGAGUUAUACACGUUCAAAGUUGAUACUGGUAGAAUCAAAUUCCAAAAUUUGGUCGAUAACAAAAGUUCCUAACCUCACUCUAAGUAUUUACUACGAACAUUCUUCCCCUCAAAAGAACUUUUCACACUAGGAUAAUGAUCAUGACACUUAUAUUUAUAUAGAAAUAAUUGGAUUCAAGUUUAUACACAUAGAAACAAUCGUUUGAAUUCUAGCUCAAAAAUGCAGGGUGUAACAAAUAUAAUCUCAUUACUAUUUUCCUAAAUAAAGGUUAAAGCCACCAUUUUUACCUUAAAAAUGGAUUUCUUCAUAAAAAUAACUACAUGUCUUAAUGGAUAACUUAUAUGCAUAAAAGAGAUUAAUAAUAAUGUUUUAAAGAUUUGACUGUGACAUAUUCCAUCCUAUGAUUUGAUACUACUAAUUAAUCCGAUCGUAAGAGAUUCUGCCCUUUUCUACACUUAUAUAAUGAUUUAGUCCCAAAGUUUACUCUGGGCAAUAAAUUUAUGAAGUGGCACUCUUUUUAGCCACGACGUGAGUCUGUGCACCUAUUAAAUAUAUACACACAUCUCUGUAGUAUGGGACAGAGGAAAAUAUUGUAUUGAUGAUAUAAAUUCUAGGUAAAACCCAAUGAUAUAUUUUUGUAUUGAUCUUAUACAUAUGUGUUGAUGAUUAUAAUGAUACUGGUUAUAUACCCGGCAAGAUCGGAAGAUGACUAUGACGAUAUGCUUAUAAACCCAAUAAGGUUGGAGGACAUUGUGAUGAUAUAUUGAUACCCAACAAGGUUGGAUGACAUAGUGAUGAUAAAUUGAUACCCGAUAAGUCCGGAGGAUAGUGUGGUGAUAUAUUUUUACUUGAGAAAGAUGUAGGAUAUUGUGAUGAUGAUAUUGAUACCCGAUAAGACCGAAGGAUGAUUAUAUUAAUGUGCCUAUGUAUAUAUCCACCUAUUCGAGUCCGGAUAGCCCUAUGUAUGGAAACGAUAUACCCUGUAAGGCCAGAGGAUAAUUAUGAUGAUGAUGGUUAUGAUAUUGAUUAUAUACUUUGCAUUCAUUCUUGCAUGUGCAUUGCCUAUCACCAGUAUGUGCCUAUAUCUAUCAUCCCAUAUAGGGGAUUGGAUAGGUAAGGGUGAUGAUUAUACUAUAACACCUCGUACUUUUUCCUAGCUUAGAAUUGUCUCAAGAAUGUUAGAAACUUUCUUUGAAAUAGGAAUUCAUUUUUGUACACAUGGAAUUUUUAAGAUUUUCACUUUUUAUCAUGUGGGAAAUUGAAUUGGCUUUCUAACAAUACCAAUUUCGUCUAAAUCCAGUAUCGGAGUGAAAAGUUAUGGAUGUUUUACCAAGACCUGUCAGAAUCGCCUAGGUGCGACGGCCAGGUUGACGGACCGUCGAUCUUGCGAUGGACCAUCUUCCUUGACCAUCGCAGCCAAGGCAGUAUGGUAACCUUCUGGAUAAGGUGCGACAGACAGGUUGACAGACUGUUGAACUUACGACGGACCAUCGCCCAAGCCAUCGCUACUUAGGCAGUGAGUCCCUAUCCUGGUGAUCCAAACGACGGACCGUUGAUCCAGCGAUGAGCCGUUGUAUGAGUCGUCAUAUAUCCCAUUCAAUUAUUUUUAAGUCAUUUUUAAAAGGGCUUUUUGAUCUUUAACCACCCGUUUAUAUACCUAGUAAUAUCCGACCAAGGCUCAUAAUUUUAUUAUUCUUCCACAACAUUAAAAUUAGGAUUUUCUCCCCAAGAGCAAUCCUUAAGCAACAAAAUCCAAAUCUUAUUCAAGAUCUAAGAGAUUCAAAUUUUUCAAGUUCAAAAACUUCAAGAAACUCACUACCAGGUAUGCAUAGUAUUCAUUCAUGGAAUGCUUUCGUCCGUGAAACCCAAGAAUCUCUUUUCAAAGUUCAAGUGUAUGUACUACUUUAUGAAUUUCAUGUUGGGUUUGAUUUUGUUCAUGUUGAUGAUGAGCAAUUGCAUUCUAAUCUAUGUUGGAUUAUCAAUUUUAUAUGGAAUUGAUUAGUAUAGGUGUAGAUUCAUGUGUACCUAUGAUUAAACCCUUGAAUGAUGAAAUUGUAGUUGAAUCAUGAUGUUUAUUUAUUGUAUAAUGUUGUCUCCAUAUACUAUGCUUACCAUUUGUUUGAUUAAAUGCCUAUGCGAAUGAAAAGUGUCCAACUAGUAUGAUAUUAUGCAAUCCUCAUGUAUGUACAAGUUUAGGCAUAUCACAUGUUUGAUGAAAUGCCUUAAUAAAUGAACUAUGGAUUGUGAUGUUGGUCAUGUAUUCAAGAAAGUCAUGCUUUGUCAGUUUCUUUCCAUUGAGUCCUAGGGGUACUUGUACCCGACAAUUAUCUAUAUUUCUAGAGCCUAUGUCAUGUUCUCAAGAUACUCUCAGUUAAGCUAUGUUCAGUAGAAUUCAGUCAGUUUCAUGACUUAGGAAAACUUAGUAACUUCAGUAAAUCUCAGUCAGCUAUCAGACCUCAGUAAUAUUUCGUUAGUCAACAGAACUCAGUAAACUCAGUCUAGCCAGUUUAGUUAAUCAUGUUCAGUGUCUAUUCAGAUGGGAGUAGAAAUUAGCAUUGAGUGAAUUCAAGGAUGGGAACUCACUGGUUAUAUGAGGGUGUGAUUCUUAGAAGCAAUCCUUACGUUAUAGAACUAAGUAGCCAGCAUAGGUUGAGCCAUCAUAGCCUGCUAUAUGAGGGUAAAUGAGGUGGCUUAACCUAUUAUAUCAGGGUUCCCACCAUUUUUACUAGAGUUACCUGUUAUAUGAGGGUACUCACAGAUUGUCCUUACUAGUGGUGCGGUAUUGACAUCCUUCUAAUUAGGGUUACAGAUUGGACCCCAACUCAGCCAUAAUGGCAUAUUAGGGGUGUGUCAUUAGAUAAAUACUUCCCACAGUUUUAGUAUUAGUAUCAUUAAAAGAACUUAGAUAAUUCUACACAAUUUAUGACUGCCGGAUACAGUCAACUCAGAUACAGUAUGGAUCUCAGCUAGUUCCAUCAGAUUUAGGACUGUCAGAUAUAGUCACUCAUGUUAUCAAUUAUAUCAGUCAUCGAAACUCAGUUACCAGUCAUGUUAGUUAUCAAUGAAUUCAUAUUAUCACGAUCUCAGUUAUAGUUACUAUGUAUUCAUGCAUGUAUUCUCACGUUGAUAUUAGUCAUUUAGUCAGCAUUGUUCAGGUAUAUAAACCCCAUGUAUUUAGCCUACCUCACAUGCAUACCAGUACAUUCAAAAUACUGAUGUAUUUGCACUAUGUUGUCUUAUACCAUAGGUUCAGAGACACGAGCUUUAAAGCAUUAGUAGUAUUUCAGUCUCAGUAGUCAGAGUUAGCUGUGAGUCCUCAUCUUUCGAGGGCAUGACCAUUUCUUUAUUAUCUCAUUAAUUAAUUUAUUUUUUGGAGUUAGUUGGGGACAUGUCUCAUCAACUCUUUAUUCAGAUAAUCAUCUUUUAGAGGCUUUUCAGACUACAGUAUGUGCAGAUAGUUUAUUUCAGUUAGUUUAGGGUAUUUCGUACCCCACCCAGAUGUCAUAUUUUAUUAGAUAUUAUGUCUCAGUUUUGAACCUUAUGGCUUUUCAGUUCAUGUUUUCGUAUUAUACAAUAUAUUAUGUAGUACACAGGUACAAAUAUCUGUCAUGAGUUAGCUUGUGGUCCUUUGGGAUCAUAAGCACCUUGUAGUAUUUCGGGUACUAGAUUCGGGGCAUUACAAACUUGGUAUCAGAGCCAAGUUUUCAAUAGUGUCCUAGGAAGUUUGAAAGCCUUAUCUAGUAGAGCCUUGUACAUGAGUGUGUUGCGUGCCACAUUUAUGUGCAGGAGGCUAUAAGAUGUUUUAGGAAUAGUUUCCCUUCUUUCAGUAUUCAUGUCAUGCCAGUGAGCAUAAUCUUAAGUCAAUCUCUCAGUCUAAUCUAUUUCUCCCUUUCUUCUACAGAACAUGCCUCCAAAAAUAAGAAACGAGAAUCAGUCAACCUCUCAGCUUGAAGUAUCUUUGGGCGAACAUGUUUCUCAUGCAGAGUUCAGAGCUGAAUUCACUACUCUUGCUCAGCCAAUUGCUUCUCAGAAUGAACGACCAGCUAUCGUUCUAGCUGACCCAGUGGCCAAUUUAGCUACAGCCAGGAUUUGUGACUUUACUCGAAUGAAUCCUCCAUCCUUUCUCGGGUCUAAGUCAGAUGAGGACCUUCAAGAAUUCAUUGAUCAGGUUAAGAAGGUUACUAACAUUAUAAGGGUACCAGCUAUUAAGAGUGCUGAGCUAGCUGUAUAUCAGUUGCAGGAUAUUGCUCACACAUGGUACAAGCAGUGGAAGUCAGAAAGGCCAGAUGAUGUAGGGCUUAUUGAGCGGGAGGAGUUUGUCACUACAUUCUCAGAGAGAUUCUUUUUCCUAGAGCUGAGAGAACCUACGGUGUUAGAAUUCAUCAACCUUGGGCAGGGCAACAUGACGGUGAAAGAGUAUUCUCUUAAGUUUACUCAAUUAUCCAUAUAUGCCCCUCAUGUGGUUGCAGACAGUAGGGCCAAGAUGAGUUAGUUUGUGUCUAGGGUGAAUGAUAGUGUGGUCAAUGAGUGUAGAUCUAUGAUGUUUAAUGGUGACAUAACUUUAGCCAGGCAUAUGACUCAUGCUCAUUAGAUAGAAGAUCAAAAGAUUAAAAUGAGGGAUAAGCAGAAUAAUAGAGCAAGGACAGGUAGUUUUAACUUUGCUCAGCCCAAAUCAGAAGAAGGAAACCAUUCUCAAUUUUGUUCUAAGUCAUCAGUUCCAACUCAUUCUUCAGCUAGUGCUCUAGCUCCUAAGUUCGGGGGGGUAACAAAAGAUAAAGCACUAGGCUCUAAGUAUUAGGGCACUGUUAAUAGUGCCCACACCUAUCCUCUUUGCCAGAUAUGUGGAAAGCACCAUCAGGGUAUAUGUAGAGCUGGUAGUGGUAUUUGUUUCGGGUGUGGCAAGCCAGGCCACAGAGUCAGAGACUAUCCUCAGGCAGGUCCUCAGGGUUAGUAGAACCAUUCCCCAACUUAGUCUGGUCGCCCAAACUAGCAUUGUGCCACCUCUAGCGCUACUAGUGGGCAACGCCCAAAUAGACUUUAUGCUCUUGAGUCCCGGCAAGAUCAGGAAAAUUCUCCUGAUGUAGUUACUGGUACGUUACAGAUCUUUUAUGUGCAUAUUUAUGCUUUGCUAGAUCCAGGAGCUUCUUUGUCUUUUGUUACUCUUUAAAUAGCAGUUGAUUUCAGAGUCAAUCCCCAAAUUCUAGCACAGCCCUUUUUAAUCUCUACCUCAGUGGGUAAAACCAUCAUAGCUCAGUGGGUAUACAGGAACUGCCUAGUUAUGAUAUUUCAGAAAGUUAUUUCAGGAAAUAUAAUCAAAUUAGAGAUGACUAAUUUUGAUGUCAUUCUCGGCAUGGAUUGGAUUCAUUCCUUCUAUGCCACAGUCGACUGCAGAAAUAGAAUAGUCCAGUUCCAGUUUUUGAAUGAACCUGUCCUGGAGUGGAAGGGUAGUGUAUGCACUUUUUGAGGUUAGCUUUUUUCCUACCUUCGGGCAAAGAAAAUGAUAUCUAAGGGAUAUGUCUAUCAUCUUAUUCGAGUUAAGGACACUAGUUCUACAACUCCCAAUCUUAAAUUAGUCUCAGUAGUGAAUGAAUAUUCAAAUGUCUUUGCCAAAGAUCUUCCAGGAAUUUCUCCCAAAAGGGAAAUAGACUUUGGCAUUGAUCUUCUUCCAUAUACUCAACCUGUAUCUAUUCCGACAUAUAGAAUGACACCAAUAAAACUCAAAGAAUUGAAAGAACAGUUGAAGGAUCUCUUUGAAAAGGGAUUCAUCAGGCCCUGUGUGUCCCCGUGGGGUGCACCAGUCUUAUUCGUGCGAAAGAAAGAUGGUUCAUUCAAAAUGUGUAUUGAUUACCAUCAUCUCAAUAAAUCCACGAUCAAGAACAAGUAUCCUCUUCCCAGAAUCGAUGACUUGUUUGACCAACUUUAGGGUGCCAGCUAUUUCUCUAAUAUAGACCUCAGAUCCGACUAUCAUUAGCUCAUGUUAGAGAAUAUGACAUUCCAAAAACUGCCUUUCAUACUCGGUAUGGUCACUUUGAGUGUCUGGUUAUGUCCUUUGGUCUUACCAAUGCCUCAGUAGCUUUCAUGGACUUAAUGAACCGUGUGUUCAAGCAGUACUUGGACAUAUUUGUCGUAGUCUUCAUAGAUGAUAUUCUGGUUUAUUUCCGUAGUGAGCGUGAUCAUGCAACCAUCUCAGAAUCAUACUUCAGACUCUCAGAGAUCAUCAGUUGUUCGCCAAAUUCAGUAAGUGUGAAUUUUUGCUAAGGUCAAUAGCAUUUCUUGACCAUUUCAUUUGAGGUGAUGGCAUUAGAGUAGAUCCUCAAAAACAGAAGCGGUAAGAAACUAGACCAGGCCUGUCUCUCCAUUUGAUAUCAGGAGUUUCUUGGGUUUGGCUGGCUAUUACAAACGGUUUAUUGAGGAAUUUGCUCCUAUUGCAUUCCCUAUGUCCAGAUUGAUUCAGAAGAAAGUCAAGUUUUAGUGGUCAGAUUCUUGCGAGAAGAAUUUUUAGAAGUUGAAGACUUAACUCGCCUCAGCUCUAGUUCUAGCUCUUCCAGAUGGUUUAGAUGGUUUUGUAGUGUAUUAUGAUGCAUCCAGAGUAGGUUUGAGUUGUGUCCUCAUGCAUCAUGGUGAGGUCAUAGCCUACGCCUCUAGACAUCUUAAACCCUAUGAGAAGAAUUAUCCUACUCAUGAUCUUGAGUUAGCAGCCGUAGUUUUUGCCUUAAAGAUUUGGGGGCAUUAUCUAUACGGUGUUCAUGUAGACGUGUUCAUAGAUAAUAAGAGUCUCCAGUAUGUCUUUUCGUAGAAAGAUCUCAAUCUUUGUCAGAGAAGGUGGUUAGAGCUCUUGAAAGAUUAUGACAUGAGUGUCCUUUAUCAUCCGGGUAAGGCCAACGUUAUGGCCGAUGCUCUCAAUAGACUGUCUAUGGGUAGUAUUGCUCAUGUUAAGGACAGUAAUUAGAAGUUAGCUCAUGAAAUCCAUCAGCUUGCCUGACUAGGUGUUUACUUAGUCGAUACAGAAGAGGGUGAUUUAUGGUUUCAGAGUAGUUCAGAAUCACCUCUAGUUUCUGAGGUGAAAGAAAAGCAAGAUAGAGACCCAGUUUAGUCAAGUUGAAAAAGUCAGUCAAGGAUCAGAAAGUAGAGGUUUUCUCCUAAGGGGGAGAUGGUGUUCUGUGUUGUCAGGGUCGUCUCUAUAUUCUAGGUGUAUAUGACUUAAGACAGCGAAUUCUUGAAAAAAUGCAUGGUGCGCACUACUUUAUUCAUCCAGGGGCCACAAAUAUUUACCGCGACUUGCGAGAAAUCUAUUGGAGUGGGAUGAAGAGAGAUAUUGCAGAGUUUGUGCCUAAGUGCUCUACAUGUCAGUAGGUUAUAUAGAGUAUCAGAAGCCUAGUGGUUCUAUACAAGAGUUCAGUAUUCCUACUUGGAAGUAGAAAGUUGUGAACAUGGACUUCGUGGCGGGUUUGCCUCAUACCCAGCAUCAACAUGAUUUAGCUUAGGUCAUUGUAGAUAGGAUAACCAAAUCAAUUCAUUUCCUUCCAGUCCAUACCUCUUAUUUUGCCCAGGAUUAUGCCAAACUCUAAUCAGAGAGUUGGUCAGAUUGCAUGGUGUUUCGUUAUCCAUUAUGUCAAAGAGAGGUACCCAGUUCACCUCUCAUUUCUUGAAAGCAUUCCAAAAGGGUCUUGGUACCCAAGUUCAUCUCAGUACAUCUUUUCAUCCUCAGACAGAUGGUCAAGCAGAAAGGACCAUUCAGACUUUAGAAGAUAUGCUAAGGACGUGUGCAAUUAAUUUUAAGGGUAGUUGGGAUGACCACUUGCCUUUGAUUGAGUUUCCAUACAACAAUAGCUAUCAUUCCAGUAUUAAGAUGGCUCCAUUCAAAGCUCUCUAUGGUAGGAGAUACAGAUAUCUAAUCGGUUGGUUCGAAGUUAGUGAGGCCACAAGGGUAGGCCAUUUUAUGAAGAUGAAUCCUCUUACUUUUACUAGAGUGAAGGUGAAGGAGGAUCCUUAGGCUUUCUUGGAUAAAAUGGAGAAGAUAUUCAGGGUAAUGCAUGCCACAAAUAUGGAAGGUGUAAAAUUUACAUCUUAUCAUCUCAAAGAUGUUGCGUACCAAUGGUACAAGGAGUAGGAUAAGGAUAGGGGAGAUAUUGAGGAGUUAUCCUAAUAGGAGGCUUUUUCUUAUGCUUUUUUGGAUUGAUUCUUUCCUCAGGAGCUGAGGGAAACAAAGAUAGAGGAGUUUGUGAAUCUUAAGUAGGGAAGAAUGUUUGUUAAGGAAUAUUCCUUAAAGUUCCACCACCUGUCAAGGUAUUCUUCGAACUUGGUGUCUGAUAUGAGAGAGGAUGAGAAGGUUCACUUUUAGGAUAUCUCGAGAUUUGAUCCUUGAAAGCAAGACUACUUUGUUUAUUAAGGAUAUAGAUAUUUCAAGGUUGGUUAUCCACAUGCAUCAAUUGGAAGUAAAAAAAUGAAAUGGGCGGAGUUUGGGGAAAGGUAGGGUAAGAGGAGCAAGUAUUUUAAGUAGGGUGGUGCUCCGUAGUAGGAUGGUCGGGUGGUGAAAAAUGGCUAAAGAGGAAGUAGGGGAGUUUUGUUCCUUCUCUACUUCUAGCACUCCUUACUCGAAGCAGUCGGGUGAAGGGCGUCCGCAAGGUGGUGAUAAUUUUUAGGCACAAGAUGCCUAAUAUCUAGUGAGUGGAUCACAUUUGACUUCUUUAUGUCCUCCUUUCCGGUUCUGUGGUCAUUUUUAUUAGGGCUUUUAUGACGAAGAAAGGUACAUAUGUUUUAAAUAUGGUCAGCUAGUCCAUAUACUCAGAAAUUAUCCAGUUGGUAAGGUUUCUUUGGGAGCGAUUAAAGUUCCAAUUUCUUCAUUUUUUGCUCACAUGUCUAGCGGUUUGGCUUCGGCGUCUGCUCCUAUUCCUGGUAUCGACACUAACCAAAAUAGGUUAUAUGCUCUUGCAUUUUGUUAGGAAUCUAAGGUAUCACCUGAUGUCAUUAUUGGUACAUUACAACUAUUUUCUCAUGACGUGUAUUGUCUGCUUGAUCUGGGGUCCACUCUUUAUGUGACCCCAUAUGUGGCUGCAUGUUCUGGUUUUGAUUCAGAGGUUGUUUCGGAUCCUUUUCUAUUUCUACCCUAGAAGGUGACACGAUUAUUGUUAAAAGUAUCUAUAGGGGGUGUGUGGUAUCUGUUGGUAGCAAGAAGACCUUGGUAGAUCUAUUUAAGCUGGAUAUGAUGAAUUUUGAUGUUAUUCUGAGGAUGGAUUGGUUAUACUCUUGUUACGCAUCCUUAGAUUAUUGGACUCAUAAGGUUGUCUUUAGGUUCCCUGGUGAAUCAGUUAUAGAGUAGGAGUAUGGUUCCUUAUCUCCUAGGGGGAGGUUUGUUUCUUAUCUUAGAGCUAAGAGAUUAAUCUCCAAAGGAUUUCUUUAUCACUUUUUCUGGGUUAAAGAUUAUAACUGGACGAUCCUUCUUUUCACUCGGUUUCGGUGGUAAGUGAGUUUCCUGAGGUCAUUCUGAAUGAUCUUCUUGAUGUCCCUCCAGAUAUGGAGAUUGAGUUUGGUAUCAAUUUUAUUCCGGACACUUAUCUAAUAUAUAUAACUCCUUAUAAAUUGGCUUUGACUGAGUUUAAGGAACUCAAGGAGCAACUUAAAGAUCUUCUGGAUAAGGGGUUUAUUCAUCUUAGUAUAUCCCUGUGGGGUGCAUCGAUGUUGUUCGUGCAUUAGAAGGAUGGUUCCCUUCGUAUGUGCAUUGACUAUCAGCAGUUGAAUAAGGUAACGGACAAGAACAAGUAUCUUCUUCCAAGGAUAAAUGACUUGUUUGAUCAGUUGCAAGGUGUCAAGCAUUUUUCUAAGAUAGAUCUUCGGUCUGGGUAUCAUCAGCUUAAGAUAAGGGAAGAGGAUAUCCCUAAGAUGACUUUUCGUACUUGGUGUAGGCACUUUGAGUUCUUGGUUGAGUCAAUUAGCUGGACUAAUGCCCUGACAUCAUUUAUGGAUUUGAUGAACAGGGUUUUUAGGCUGUUCUUGGAUCUUUUUUCAAUGUAUUUAUUGAUGAUAUCUUGGUGUAUUCUAAAAGUGAGGUGGAUCAUGCAAAUAACCACAUUGUAGUGUUGCGAACCUUCAAGGAACAACAUUUGUAUGCCAAGUUCUCCAAGUGUGAGUUUUUGUUAAACGUUGUAACUUUCUUGGGUCAUAUUAUUUCUAGAGAGAGGACCAUGGUGGAUACUCUAAAGGUGGUUAUGGUAAAAGGUGGCCUAGACCCACAACUCUAGCCAACAUUCAGAGCUUCUUGGGUUUGGUUGAGUAUUAUAGGAGGUUUGUGGAGGGGUUUUCUUAAUUAAGUGCUCCAUUGACUAAGCAAACUUAGAAGAUAGUAAAGUUCUCUUGGUCAGAAGCGUGUGAAUGGAGUUUUGAGAAGCUCAAGGAUAAACUGACUUCGACUCCAGUUUUGACAUUGCCUAAAGGUAGAGAGGGAUUUGUGGCUUAUUAUGAUGUAUCCUGGGUUGGACUUGGUUAUAUUUUGAUACAGCAUAGGAAGGUGAAUGCCAAUGCUUCCAGGCAGUUGAAAUUGCAUGAAAGGAAUUAUCCUACUCAUGAUUUGGAACUGUUGGCGGUGGUUUUUUCUUUGAAAAUCUGGCAGCAUUAUUUAUAUAUAGUACACAUAGAUAUCUUUUCUAAUCAUAAGAGUCUACUGUAUGUGUCAACUCAGAAGGAGAUAAAUAUCAGGCAUAAGAGAUUGUUAGAGCUUCUCAAGGAUUAUGAUAUGAGUCUUCACUAUUACCCAGGUAAAGCUAACGUGGUUAUGAUGCUCUUAGAAGGAUGUCCAUGGAGAGUUUGGCUCAUGUGGAGGAAGGAAAGCAGGAAUUGGUAAAGGAUAUUCACCGCUUGGCCAAUCAUAAAGUUCAUCUCUUGGACUUCAAGGAUGGUAAGGUAAUGGUUCAGGAAGUAGUUAGGUCAUCUCUUGGUGCAGAGAUCAAGGAGAAUCAAAUGCUAGAUCCUAUCUUGAUGAAAAUCAACAGUGAUAUAGGGAGACAUAAGAUAAUGGUAUUUGAGAUCAGUGGUGAUGGUACUUUGUGGUACCAAGGAAGGUUGUGUGUUCCUAAUGUUGAUGAUUUGCGACAAUGGGUUUUGAUUGAGGCACAUGAAUCCCCUUAUGUUGUUCAUCCCGAUUUGAUAAAAAUGUAUCAUAAUCUCAAGGAGAUAUACUAGUUGAAUGGUAUGAAAAGGGAUACAGAUGAUUUUGUAGCCAAGUUCAUAGUAUUCCAACAAGUCAAGGAUGACACAUGAGGCCUGGUGGGUUAUAUCAAGAAAUUGAUUUUCUUGAAUGGAAAUAGGAGGUGAUCAUCAUGGAUUUUGUUACCGGUCUUCUUGGUCUUGGAACUAAUUUGAUUUGAUUUGGGUCACUGUUGUUAGGAUGAUGAAGUCUACUCACUUCUUUUCAGUGAGGACUAACUUUUUGGCAGAGGAGUAUAUAAAGUUGUAUCUUCAUAUGAUAGUAAAGCUGCAUGUGGUACCUAUUUUUAUUAUCUAUGAUUGUGGUAUGUAGAUUUCAUCUUAUUUCUGUCAUGCUUUUCAGAAGGGAUUGGGUACUAAGGUGAGUCUGAGUAUUGGUUUUCAUCCUCAGAUGGAUGGGAAAACAGAAAGGACUAUUCAGACAUUGGAGGAUAUGUUUCAAGCAUGUGUGAUUGACUAUGGUGGAAAUUGGGUUGAGCAUCUACCUUGGUAGAGUUUGCUUACAAAAAUAACUAUCAUUCGAGUAUUGAUAUGGCCCUUUUUAAGACACUGUAUUGUAGGAGGUGUAGAUUUUCUAUGGUUUGUUCGAGCUUGGUGAGGAGGAUAUGUUCAGUCUGAAUUUGUUUUAUCAGGCUAUGGAAAAGGUGAAGGUGAUCUGGGAUAGGCUUAAGGCUGCCCAAAGUCACCAAAAGUCCUUUGCGGGCGUAAGGCAUAUAGAGUUGGAGUUUGAGGUUAGGGAUAAGGUGUUCUUAAGGGCAUCUACCAUGAUGGGAGUAAUACGGUUUUGGUAAAAAGGGGAAGCUCAUUCUUUAGUUUGUUUGUCCUUAUGCAAUUUUGCAGAGAGUUCAUAAUGUGGCUUAUGAAUUGGAGUUUCCUUCUGGUUUGAGCUCUAUUUAUCCGGUAUUUUUUGUAUCUAUGUUGAUAAAGUGUCAUGGUGAUCCUUUUUCGGUAGUUCCUUUAGAGGGCUUGGGUAUCUUGGAUUCUUUGUCUUAUGAAGAGGUCUUAGUUGAGAUCUUGGAUAGGCAGGAUCAUUGGUUACGAACAAAGGAUGUAGCCUCGGUUAAGGUUCUAUGGAAGAACCAUAAGGUGAAAGAGGCUACAUGGGAAAUGGAGGAGGACAUAAAGUCCAAGUAUCUGUAUCUAUUUUCUGCUCCUGGAUACGUGCGAAAGGUAUGCCUUGUUCCACAAUCUUUUGUUUUCAAAAUUUGUUAAAAGAGAUAUUUAUAUCUUUGCAUCUUUGUUUUCUAACUUGGUUAAAGGUUAGAUUGAUAUUUUAUAAUGCAAAUGAAUUGUGCUUGUGGUUACCCUACCUUAUCUAUCAUUCGAGGACGAAUGUCUCUAGUGAGGGAGACUGAAACACCCUAGGUUUCUGGCCCUUAGAAUAUUUCCUAGAUUUUUGGUGUCAAGACAAGGUGAGACUAGGGGAAAUUACUCAUAUACUAGGAUAUGAGUGGUAUGGGUUAGUUAUAUGUUGAACAGUGUUGGUUGGUGGGUUAGAUUUAGUUUCUGUAAUGGAUUUGUCUUGGGUGGUACGAGUUGUAUUAGUGGAUACAGGUUGUUUGGUUACUUCACUUAAACAUAGACUUUGUAAACUAAGUUAGAUCUAAGUACGAGAAGCUCACCAUGAGUCGUAAGCUAGGGUACAAGUCAUACUAUGGACUCUUGCAGUGCUCAAUCCUCUUUAGAUUAUAUUCUUCCAGGGGUAUGAAUCAUGGAUACUAGUUGUAUGCUUUGAUAUAACAUGGUUUAGGGUGAUUUAUCCCUUGGACAGUGUUGGGUCCAAAAGAGGUGGCCUUGGGUACGAGUGGUGGGUAGCACUCAUAUUGGAAGGUAUAUUGGUAUGGAUAGUUUUGUCCCUCUUAUGGGAUUUUUGUGCAGUUUAAGUGAGGGCGAUCUAGAAAUUUCCCCACGUAACCUAAUAAGGCCCCACUACUUUUAACUUACUUGAGAGGUUAUUUGCUCUAUUAUUCUAUUCUUUAACACUUAGAAAAACACUCUCUAAUCCUUUCUAAAUUUCUUGCAUAAGGAAUGUAGGGUUUCAUCUUAAGGAUUAAUUUGGGACUUGUGUUGAUGGUUUCUCUCCAUCAUCUUUAUGAUUUAAUUCAUGUUCUCCUCCCUCAUUGUUAGUUUCACAAAAGGCAUGGUUUUAUACGAUGUUUUCAUGAUUUGAUUAUUGUAUGGUUUGGGGUUUUCAAAUAUAAUAUGGGGGUUUUAGUUAUAAAUGUUUGGUUAUAGUUUUCCCAUAUUUUAAUUAUGUUUUAACAUGCUAUAUUGGUGUUUGGGAUAAUUGGAUUGCAUGGGAAUGGUUAUUGGUCAUUGGAAUUGGUUUUGGAAAUACUAUGCCCCCAAUGUGUUUGAUAAAAUUCUUAUAACAAUGUUUUCACUAUAAUAUUGUAUUUUUAAUGGAACUAUUGCAUAGUUUGAACUUGGCAAUGGAACCCUAAAUGGUUUGGAAUGGUUAAAUGGAAUAGUUUUGGGUUUAACAAUCAUUCUUGAGGGAUAUAAUGGGAUCCCCCAUGUAAUCGUAAUUAUGGAACACUUGUGGGGUACAUGGGACUCCUACAAGUUAAUUGGAUAAUAUGGUCUAUGGGUAUAUGGGAAUCCCUUGAUCUCAAAAUGGUUUGGCUAUGGACAAUACUUGCAAGUUAUAGUCGGUAUGACGAUACCAAUAUGUAUUGUCUUGGUUAAUGACAAUGGUUUUGGUUUGGAAAUAGUUUCAAUUGGGCAAUAAUGGCAGGGUGUGAUAGCUAACCGUGAAGGUAGGAGUUCAAUGAACGAACACUGGAAAAUCAUGUUUGCCGACAUGAGAGGAAGGUCAUGGCAACCUUAUAUUAUACUAUGAGGUACAUGGGAAUCCUUUAAGUACACUGUAAAUAUAUAUCAUUGGAGGUAAGGGUACUUGGGAAUCCCCUACUGAAAUGGUAGCUCCGGUUCAUGCGGCUACACAUAUCGAGGCCCGUUUAGGGGGUUACACUAGACCCAUAUAGCCUGUGGGUGGUUAAGAACGGUUAAGCUAUCCAUACCCAGUUAAAUGGUUUCAAAUGCAUGUUAAACUCAAUUCUCUUUCAUGGCAUGCUUAUAUAUAUGUAUAUAUGGUUAGUAUACCUAUGGAUGGUUUACUUGGUUCUAUUAAAUGGCAUUUGUAUGCAUAUGGAUGGUUUACUUGGUUUUAUUAAAUGAAAUUAUUUUAUCCUUAUCCUGAGUUCAUGCUAGAGUUCACCCGCUAACCCAUCUUCGGGUGGCUACAUCACCUGUAGGAACCAGCUGUUCUACUCCUCCUGCUUAGCGAUCAGACUUCGGGAUCAACUAUUGGAUUGAAGUGGUGAAAGGCUCCAUUUCAUAGAUGUUAUUUCAUACUUUGGUUUAUUUAUGGAUAUUUAUUUUUUCUAUGGUUGGGGCAUGUCUCAACCAAAUAUUAGUUAUCUUUUGGUUAGAGGCUUUUGUGGAACUACUAUAGGGUUGAAUGGGCAGGAUCCGUAUUGGUGUCAGCCUUAGUAUUGCCAUUGGUAUUGGGGAUGAUAUUGGCUGACUGUAUUAUUGGUUGUCCAUCCUUUUUUAUUUUGACACUAUAUAUAUACUUAUUAUGGAACUCAUAUGAUUUGGUUGGUUUUGGUUAUCGGUUGGGUAUUGGACAGUUGGACUCGUUUGGGGGUCACAAACAUAGACCUAUCCCAGAGUCUUAGAUUAUGCAAUGUCUCUAUCUUGUUAUAUGUUCAGAAUUAAUCUUACUCAGGAUAUGCGUAAGUUGGUUGGGUAAGAUAAUAGGGGUACUCUCCAGUCCUGGUUGGACUUGGGAUGUCCAAUAUGACAAGUCCCUGGUUUAGGUCAUGUAAGGUUUUUAUCACAACUUUAGGUUCAUGGUCAAUUGGGAUUCCAAAAAGUCAUGUCUAGUAGAGUCUCUUUUAGGAGAGUGUAGCACAUCACACUCAUAAGAGAGAGGCUACAGGGCAUUUAGGAAUGCUUCACUUUCUUGGUAUUCGAUUUUCAAGAUUGAAGUUUAUAUCCUAGAAUUUUCUCUAAUCCAUGUUUGUUCGCUUUUUAGAUCAUGCCUCAAUGAUCUGGAACACAAAGAAAUUCUUCUGUCCUAUCUGGGGACGAUGUUGAUGGAUUACGCCCUACACCUAGAGUUUGUACUUGAUCUCAAGGUCCUAUCCCUGAUUGUUCUGGAGUUCCUCCGAUUGCUACUAGUCCUCCUUAAGGUGAGGUGACUAAUGCAGAAUUUCAUUAGUUGAUUCAAGUUAUUGCUCAAUUGGUUGCUUCUCAGGAUGAGCAUGAUACAUCUGGUGUUUUAUCUACUAAGGACACAAGGGUUGGCCAGUGUAUGAAGAUGAAUCCUCUUACUUUUACUGGAGUAAAGGUGGAGGAGGAUCUUUAGUCUUUUUUUGAUAAAAUGGAGAAGAUAUUCACGGUAAUGCAAGACACAAAUGUGAAAGGUGUAAACUUUGUAGCUUAUCAGCUCAAGGAUGUCCCCUUUUGAGGCACUUUAUCAUGGGAGGUGUAGAUCUCCUAUUGAUUGAUUCGAAAGUUGGUGAGGUGGUUAUGUUCUAUCCGAAUUUGGUUUAUCAAGUUAUGGAAAAGGUGAAGGUGAUUUUGGAUAGGCUUAAGGCUUCCCAAAGUCUCCAAAAGCCUAUAUGGAUGUAAGGCAUAGAGACUUGGAGUUUGAGGUUGGGUAUAAGGUGUUCCUAAAUGUAUCUCCCAUGAAGGGAAUAUUACGGUUUGGUAUAACGGGAAAGCUCUUUCCUUGGUUUGUUAGUCCUUAUGUAAUUAUGUGGAGGGUUGGUAAUGUGGCUUAUGAAUUGGAGUUCCUUCUGGUUUGAGCUUCAUUCAUCCGGUAUUUCAUGUAUCUAUGUUGAAAAAGUGUCUUGGUGAUCCUUCUUCAGUGGUUUCUUUGUAGGGCUUGGGUAUCUCGGAUUCUUGUCUUAUGAAGAGGUCCUACUUGAGAUCUUGGAUAGGCAGAUUCGUCAGUUACAGACGAAGUAUGUAGCCUCGGUGAAGGUUCUAUGGUGGAACCACAAGGUGGAAUAGGCUACAUGAGAAGCGGAGGAGGACAUGAAGUCCAAGUAUCCGCAUCUAUUGUCGAGUCAAAUACCAAAAUUUUGACGAAUUAAAGGCUCUUAGCUCAACUUUGUUCUAAGUGAUUCCUAUGAACAUUGUUUACCUAAAAAGUACUUCACACACUAGGAUAAUCAUCUGGACACAUAUAUUCAAAUACCAAUCAUAGGAUUAAAUUUUACAUACAUAGGAACGAUGAUUCGAACUCUAGCCUGAAAAUGUGGGGUGUUACAAUUAUGUGAUUGUUGAUCAUUUGAAUUUAGACUCCAUUUCUGUUUAUAUGUUUUAUAUAUUUCCACUAUCGUUGGAGCUCAGUCGGUAAUUGGCUAAUAAUUAUCACAUGUUUGGUACUCAUACUACUCUUCUGUAGCCUACAAAUCAUAGUACGAGUAGUCAUCGAUGCUCCAUGUCGUCAAGAGCAGCCAUGGUUCAGAGACUUAGAGUGAGCUACUGAUGUUUAGAGUAUUACUUACCUUUCUUUUAUGACUAGUCUACUUUCAAUAUUCUAUUUGGAGAUAAGUUGUAUCAGUGUAAUUACUUGGUAUUUCAUUUUUGUACUCUUAUUUUAUUAGAAGCUCUUGUACUGAUACCACCAGAUUUUGGGACUAUAUUAUGUAUUUGAUCUUUUAGUAUAUAUAUUCUGCAUUCUUUUUGUUAUCUCUUUGGGUAGUCCGUGACUAGUCGUUCCGGACUAUGGGUUUGGCUUGCCUAUGGGUGAGUUCUAGUAGGCGCCAUCAUGACCUGAGAAAUUGGGUCGUGACAAAUUGGUAUUAGAGCCUAGGUUCACCGGUGUAUUAUUACAAGAGUUAAGUGUUUAGUAGAGUCUUAUGGAUUGGUGUAGAGAUAUCUGUAACUUAUUUUUUGGAGGCUAUCGGGACAUUCUUAGAAAAUCCAUUUCUUGACUUCCUGUUUGUUACCACCCGAACUAGGGCUUGGCCAUGACAGUUAUCUCAAGUCCCAUAUAGACCAGAGAUCACCCCUGAACCUAACCAAACCAACAACAACACACCCCAAUGUUGGAUGAAUUCCAAACCUAUAACAAGAUAGCAUGCAAAAGCUUAAGAAAAAAUUAAUGUAUGUCAAUAACCGACGAUGGGUCGGCCAACCAACUAACCAAUACUGCCCAAUAACCACAGUAAUCCAUACAAAGCCUUCUAACAAUGAACCAAGAUUGAAUAUCAAUAAAGUGUCUGGACAUGCCCCUGACUAUAGCCAAAAAAUGUCUAAACAGUUUGAGCCAUAAGAGACCAAAACAUUUAAUGAAGACUUCUGAUAUAUGGACGCUCACCACUUCAUUGUCAACUCACAAGCCGAUCUUGAAUCCCAAUCACAAAGUAGGUAGAGCAGAAGUAUGACCAAUUCCUGCAUCGCGUGGGGGUACAACUUCUUAAGACGAUUAGCUGUUGGAGAGCUAGCAUGAAACUCAGGGAUAAGGAUAACAUAAUGUCAUAAUCAACAGUUUAAAAUCAUUCAAAACCAAUGCAAAUAAUCAAAUGCAUAUACAUAUAUACUUCACAUUCCAGGAUAGGGAACACGGUUUAAUAUGUACUUGAAACUUUAACCUGGAUUAUGUAGCUCAACCAUCAUAAAAUGUACCCAUGGGAUAUAUCGGCCCCAACUUUAACCCCUUGGUUGGGCCCUAGUGCAUGUAGCUGCACGAACUGGAGAAUAAUCUCAUUUAUAUACACGAGGAACUAAAACCUCCUAAUCAUAUACUAAGGUGACGUAAGCACCAGAUCAUGUAAUGAUUUAAAGGGGAAUAGAAACUCUCUAAUCAUGAAAUAAUAAUGAGAGGGACUCGAAGCUCUUUGGUCACUUUGACCCCAUAUCGGUAAACAUGAUUUCGAGUACCGGUCACUCAGACCUCUAUUUUUAUGACUCAGCUACAUAACCCAUAUUAGAGCCCAAUUAAAACAAGUAUCACAUAUUCCCGUUCAUUGAACCACAUUCCACAUUAAGGCAUACAUUGUUGGUAUCGUCAUACCAACUACAUUUGCUUGGUAAGAACAACAUGUCAAAACAGUUUCUAUUAACUUGGGGAAAAUAACUUCCUUUAUUCAUUAAUAAAAGGUGGGGGAACACCGACUCCCUUUGUUCAUUAAAUCAGACCAUUAUGUUUGAAAUAUCUCUUUAUAUCAUGCAAUAGUUCAAGACUAGUUCAAUUUUACAAAUUCCCAGAGUUCUCAUAAUUUAAAAACCAAUUUCACAAUAUGGAGUUGGGUUCAUUACCACUUCAAAAGUCACAAGUUUAAAAAAAUCACAAUUCCCUAGUUCAUUUACCGUACCCAUGAACCCACACAUUCAAAACCAUGAUAAAAGUAUGGAAAUCAUAUAUAAACCAUGAGAAAUAUUUUUCAUUUCAUAAGCACUCAAAACCCCUAGCUUUUGUUUUAAAACUAUCAUAAAUAUCUCCUGAACUAUACUCUAAAACACAUGCCUUUAACAAAUUAAUAAUGAGGGAAGAGUAACAUUCCUUAAACACCAAGAAAUUUAGAGAGAAAUCAACCCUUGAGCACUUAGAUGACCAACUUGAUGAAACCCUAGCUUGACUUUCUUGAGGGAAUUCAGAGAGCCUUUUGGAGUGUUUGAGAAGUUACUUGGAUUGUUUCUAAGUCCUAAUGACACCCGAAAGGGUUUAUAAGACGUGGGAUUUAAUUUGGGUAAGGGACAAAUGUCCAGAAUGCCCUUGACUUAAAAGCUGCAAAGUAUCACCCUUGACUACGGGUCAAUCAGUGACUCAUAGCCACUUCUUAAGACUCUUCACCAUGAGUCGUAACCAAUAUAGUCUCUAGGACCCCCACAUACUUUUGACCCUAUGACUCUCUGGUACCACUCAUAAUUAGACCCUACGACUCGUAAGUUCCAGUCAUAAUCAAUACAUAACCCAAUUGGGUAAACUCUGUAAAUCCUAUGAUUUUCACCGAAUGACUCGUAACAAGUCCUUACAGCUAAUAGUAAGCCACUCGUACUCAGAGAAGAACUUAGCCACUAUACUUCUGAUUUGAUUAAUGAUUCCAUCCCAAUGACUCGUCAUGAGUCUUUACGACUCGUACCCUCAAGUUGUUCCCAAGACAGAAUCUCAAAAACCCCUCACUGGACAACUUAUGACUAUGGUUACCUGACCCAUCAAGACAUGUUACAACUCAUCAGAUGAGUUUUUUCUAGGGAAUAAAGCUCAGGACUCAGAAAAAAUUCGAGGACCAAAAACCCAGGGCAUUCCAUACUCCUUCUCUUAGGAUCAUUCAUCCUUGAAUGAUAGGACAAGGAUUUUUUAAGCACAAUUUUACCUCACAUACCUCUACUCUUACCUUUAACAAAGAUAAAAAACAAAGAUUAGAAAAUAAGAUUUUACAAAAUACACAUACCUUAAGCACGAUUAUUCAAAAUGGGAAACAAGAAUAGAUACUUGAACUUCAUGUCUUAUUCAGCUUCCCAAGUAGCUUUCUCAACCUCUUGGAUCCUCCAAAGAACCUUUACUAAAGCCACGUCCUUCGUCCGCAACCGACGGACUUGAUGAUCCAAAAUAUCAAUAGAGACCUCCUCAUAGGAAAAAGAAUCCAAAAUACCCACCUCCUCUAAAGGAACAAUCUUCGAUGGAUCACCCACUCACUUCCUCAACAUUAAAACGUGAAACACCGAAUGAAUAAAGCUAAAAUUAAAAGGCAACUCCAAUUCAUAGGCAACAUUACUAACCUUCUUCCAAACCAAGUAUGGACCAACAAAAAGGGGACUGAGCUUCCCCUUCUUACUAAACUGCAUCACUUUCUUCAUGGGAGACACCUUUAAGAACUCCCAAUCACCAAUAUUGAAUUCUAACUCCAUUCGCCUUACAUCCGCGUAGGACUUUUGGUGACUUUGAUUGGCCUUAAGUCUACCCCGAAUCACCUUAACCUUCUCCAUAGCUUAGUGAAUCGAAUCAGAGACAAAUAACUUACUUUCACCAACCUCAAACAACCCAAUAGUAGAUCUAGACCUCCUAUCAUAUAAGGCUUCAAACGGAUCCAUACCAAUGCUGGAGUGAUAAUUGUUAUUGUAGGCAAAUUCUAUGAGAGGUAAGUGGUAAACCCAACCAUGCCUAAAAUCAAAUACAUAAGCCCAAAACAUAUAUUCCAAGACCUAAAUUAUCCUUUCCGUUUUCCUAUCUAUCUGCAAGUGGAAUGUGGUACUAAAGGUCACCUUAAUCCUUAAACCUUGCUGGAACAACCUCUAAAAGUGAGAUGAGAACUGAGUGCCCCAAUUAGGUAUGAUGGAAACUAGUGUACCAUGCAACUUCACGAUCUCCUCAAUGAAUAACUUGGAAAAAUCUUCAGAAGAAAAAUUACUCUUCACUGGCAAUAAGUGAACAGACUUAGUCAUUCAAUCUACUAUGACCCAAAUCAAAUCAAAUAGUUGGCGAGAGAUAGGAAGACCAGUAAAAAAUCCAUAUUUAUCAUCUCCCAUUUACACACUGGUAGCUCAAUUUCUUAAGUUAACCCAAUGAGCCUCAAUACUCUAUCUUCAUUUGUUGACACACCAUGUACUUAGCCACAAAAUUUACCAGUUCCACGACAGAUUUUCUACCAAUAAAUUUCCUUAAGAUCAUUGUACAUUUUUCAUCAAAUGAGGGUGAAUAGUAUAAUGCGACUCAUGAGCUUCAGCCAAAAUUCUUCCCCGCAACCCAUCAAUAUCGAGAACACAAAUAUUCCUUGGAACCUCAAGAUACCAUCACCACCAAACUAGAAAACUAUCACUUUUUUCCUACAUACAUCAUUCUUGAUUUACAUCAAAAUAGGAUCCAACACUUGUUUCUCCUUUAUGUCAGCACCAAGAGAUGGCUUUUCCACCUCUUGAAAAAUUACACCAUUAGCCUCGAAAUCUAAGAGACGAACUCCAAGAUAAUUCUAACGAUGAAUAUCCUUCACCAAAUCCCGUUUCUCCUUAUCCACUUGAGAUAAGCUUCCUAUGUAUAACCUGCUAAGAGCAUCAACAACCAGGUUAGCUUUACCUGGAUGAUAGUGGAGACUCAUGUCAUAGUUCUUUAGCAGCUCAAGCCACCUCCUAUUUUUGAGAUUUAAUUUUUUUUUUGGUGAACAUGUAUUGUAGGAUCUUAUGAUAAGAAUAAAUAUCAACAUUGACCUCAUACAAAUAGUGCCAUUAGAUCUUUAAUGCAAACACCACAGCUAACAAUUCCAAAUCAUCAGUUGGGUGAUUCAUCUCAUGAACUUUCAACUAACUAGAAUCAUAAUCAACCACUUUACCAUGAUACAUUAACACACAGCCCAGUAGCACCCAAGACGCAUCACAAUAGAAAACAAAACCAUUGGUGCCUUCAAUUAGAGUCAAGGCCAGAGUUGAAGUCUACUUAUCGUUUAGCUUCUCAAAAUUACGCUUAGAAGCAUUAAACCAUAAAAAUUUCAACUUCUUUUGAGUUAACUUAGUCAACGGGGCAGCAAUAGAAGAAAAACUCUCUACAAACCUUCUAUAAUAAUCGGGUAAACCUAAGAAGCUAUAAAUAUUAGAUGAGUCGUGGGUCUAGGCCACUUCUUAACUAUCUCAGCCUUCUGUAAAUCCCACAUGACCCUUUUGCUAGAAAAAACAUGACCCAGAAUGUUAUAAAAUUCAACCCAAACUCACACGUAGAGAACUUUGCAUACAAAUAUUGAUCCUUUAGGGUCAUCAACAUAACGAGGAGGUGAUCAGUAUGAUCUACCUCACUUUAGGAAUGCACCAAAAUAUCAUCGAUAAAGAUAAUGACAAACAAGUCCAAGAACUAACAGGAAACAUAAUUCAUAAGAUCCAUAAAUACAGCCAGGGAAUUGGUCAAACCAAAGGACAUUACCAAAAACUCAAAAUGACCAUAUCACGUUUGAAAAGAAAUCUUACGGAUAUCCGCCUCCUUAAUAUUCAACUGAUGGUACCCAAACCAAAGUUUAAUUUUGAAAAAGAACUUAGCCCCAAAGCUGAUCAAAGAGAUCAUCAAUCCUCGAAAGCGGAUACUUAUUCUUCACGGUUACUUUAUUCAGUUAGUGGUAAUCAAUGCACAUUCGAAGGAAACCAUAUAUCUUAUGCAUGAAGAUAACCGGAGCACCCCAUAAAGACACAGUAGGAAAGAUAAAACCCUUGUCAAGAAAAUUUUUCAACUGCUCUGUGAGUUCUUUCAACUCAGUCGGAGCCAUUCUAUAAGUAGGAAUAUAAAUAAGAUGAUUGUCCAAAAGAAGAUAGAUCCCAAAAUCAAUUUCCCUAUCGGGAGGAAUACCAAGAAGAUCAUCAAAGAACACCUCAAAAAAUUAACAAACCAUAGGGACAGUUUGUAGAAAAGGACCUUUGGAUCUAGAAUCCUUAACAUACACUAGGUGAUAGAGGCACCAUUUAAAAAUCAAUCUUCGGGAUUUAAGAUAUGAGAUAAACCUUCCCUUAGGCACUAUGGAAAUACCUGCCUAUUCAGUUAUCGGCUUACUUAGAAAAUUGAAAUUGACUUUUUAGGUUCAAAAUCAAGAGAAGCAUAACACGAAUGCAACCAAUCCAUCCCUAAAAUCAUAUCAAAGUCUAAUAUGUCCAACUCUAAUAGAUCCAACAAAGUCUUCCUACCAUGAAUCGAAAUUACAUAACCUCUAUAGAACCUUCUAGCCACAAUGAGUCAUCCACUAGGGUGGAUACAGGGGGAGGAUCAAAAGUACAUCUAGAUUAAAGCCAAAAUGAAUAGCCAUAUAAGGGGUCAUAUAAUAAAGAGUAGACCCGAGAUCAAGUAGACAAUAUACAUCAUGAGAAAAGAGCUUAAUCAUAGCAGUAACAAGAUAAGGGGAUGCAUCAGAAUCAUGGUGAGUGCAAAAAACAUAUAGACGGUGCUGACCAAUGCCAGAGCCAGAAGCAAAAGUAGCACCCUUUGGUGAAGGAGCAGACAAAGUAUCAACGGGAAUCUUACUUGCCCUAGACGCAACCUUAAAAGGAUAAUCCCUCUGUAGAUGACCUGUCUGGCCAUAUUUAAAGUACUUAUUCUUCCCUUUCUUGCCAAACCCAUAAUGUACCUAACCAUAAAAUCUAGAAGAAGGAUAUGAUAGAGCUGACUGAGCCCCACUAGCUGGUAACUAGGCUUAUGGCUCUCUAAAUACACCAUCAUAAGGCGAACAAUGGUCACCUGAAGGCUUUGGAUAAGGAGCACUAGAUGUAGAGUAGGAACCCAAACUGCCCCAUUAUUUCUUAGACCACUUCUCACCAUCUUUACCACUUUAUUGCUGACCUCCACCCUGAUUCAAAUGGCAAAACUUCUUAUUCUGCCUCUUACUCAUCUCUGCUUGCUUCUUCUUUUCUUUCUCCACCUGUUGUAUAUACACCACAAGUCUAGAGAUAUCCAUAUCCUUAUUCAAUAAGACAGCCUUGCUUUCCAAGAUCAACUCUCAGGACAACCCCAAAUCAAAAUUCCUUAUUCUAGCCAUCAUGCUAGCCACCAAUUCAAAAGCAUAAUACAAUAACUAAUGAAACUUUAAGGCACACUCCUUUACUAAUAUCCUGCCUUACUUUAGAUUCCUUGACCAUUGCCUUUCUCAACUCCUGAGAAAAUAAAUAGUCAAGUAAAGCACUUGAAAAAUCAUUCUAUAAAGAGGAACCGACAAUAUCACCCCUAGAUUUGUCCCACUCCUCAUACCAUUGGUACACCAUAUCCAUAAAUUGAUAAGAUACAAACUCUACACCCUCCAUGUUUGUAGCUUGCAUCACAUGAAAGAUAUUUUUGUUCUCAUUAAUAAAAUUUUAAGGAUUUUCUCAACUUUAGAACCAGUGAAAAUAGGUAGACUCAACCUCAUAAAUUAGUCAACCUUAGUGGCCUCAAAUAAUGAAGCAAUAAAAGAAACACACUUAGUCUGGGAGGAUACCAACUAGGUGAGAAAAUAAAUCAACUGGCAAAACUCAGCAUUAGGCACAUUAAGUUGAGGUUCCCGAGGAGAGAUAGGGGAACAAGUAGAGCUCCCUCAGGGAAAUUAGAGGUAGCGACCCUGGACUGGGUCUAAACUCCUGGAAUUGGAUGAGAUCCAUCCAUAUAAUCCUCAGAUGGGAUAAAAGAUUUGUCAUGACCAUCAGAUCUUCAGGAAGAUGUGAUCUGAAAAUCAAACACAUGAGAAUUAGAAAAGAUUCAAGACCUUGGACUCUAUAGCUUGAAAUAACACAAAAUGAAAGGGAAACAUUCCUAAAUAUCUAGUAGCCUCUCCUUUAUAAGUGUAGCAUGAUACAUACCCAUAAACGAGACUCUACUUGACAUUGCUUUAUUGGAAACCUAAUGAAACCAAACCUAGGCUCUAAUACUAUCUCUGUUAUGACUUAGCAUGCUACACACCCAUAAAUGAGACUCUACUUGACAUGACUUUAUUGGAUACCUAAUGACACCAAACUUAGGCUCUAAUACCAUCUCUGUCAUAAUGAAAAUCAGAGCCUGGUCGUGAAGGGUAUCUCAAGUCCCACAUGGAUCAGAGAUCACCCUGCACCUAACCAAACCAACCACAACACACCUCAAAGUUGGAUGAAUUCUGAACAUAUAACAAUAUAGCUUGCAAUAGCUUAAGAAAAAUUUAAUGUAUGUCAAUAACUGACGACCGGUGACUGACCGACCAACCAACCAACACUACCCAAUAACCACAGUAGUCCAAAUAAAGCCUUCUAACAAUGAACCAAACCUGAAUAUUAAUAAAGUAUUGGGACAUGCCCCCAACUAUAGCCAAAAACAAGUCUAAACAAUUUGAGCCAUGAGAGACUAAAAUAUGAAAUUUAGACAUCUGAUGUAUUAAAACUCACCACUUUAAUAUUAACUCAUAAGUUGAUCCCAAAUCCUAACUGAGUAGGAAAUGUAGAAGUAUGACCAAUUCUUGCAUUGUAUGGGGGUACAACAUUCGAAAAUGAUUAGCAGUUGGAGUGAUAGCAUGAAACUCAAGGAUAAGGAUAAUAUAAUGUCAUGAUCAAUAGUUUAAAAUCAUUCAAAACUAAUGAACAUAAUCAAAUGCAUAUACAUAUAUACUUCACAUUCUGAGAUAGAGAACAAGGCUUAAUAUGUACUUAAAACUUUAACCAGAAUUAUGUAGCUCAACCAUCUUAACAUUUACCCAUGGGAUAUAUGGGCCCCAGAUCUCACCCCCUGGCUGGGGCCCAAUGCAUUAAUCCAAAUAAAGCAGAGAAUAAACUCAUAUAUAUGUACUGGGGACUCGAACCUUCCAAUCAUAUACUAUAGUGACUUAAGCGCCCGAUCAUGUAAUGAUUUAUGAGGGACUCAAACCUCCCUAAUUAUGAAAUAAUAAUGUGGGGGACUCGAACCUCCCUUUUCACUUUGACCCCUGCAUUGGAAAACAUGGUUUCCAGUAUUGGUCACUCGAACCUCCACUUUUAGGACUCAACUACACAACCCUUAUUAGAACCCAAUUAAAAAAAGUAUCAUACAUUCCUAUUCAUUGAACCACAUUCCACAUUAAGGCAUACAUUGUUGGUAUCAUCAUACCAACUAUACUUGCAAGGUAAGAACAAUAUGCAAAAACAAUUUCCACUAACUUGGGGAAAACAAAUCCUUUUUUUUAUUAAUACAAAGUAGGGGGAAACCGACACCCUUUGUUCAUUAGAUCUGGCCAUUAUGUUUCAAAUAUCUCUUUAUAUCAUGCAAAAGCUCAAGACUAGUUCAAUUUUACCAAUUCUCGCAAUUAUCAUAAUUUAAAAACCAAAUUCACAAUAUAGGGUUGGGGUCAUAACCACUUUAAAAGUCAUAAGUUUGGGAAAAUCACAAUUCCUAAGUUCAUUGAUCAUACCCAUACACCUACACAUUUAAAACCAUAAUUAAAGCAUGGAAAUCAUAUACAAACCAUUAGAAAGAUUGUUCAAUUCAUAAGCAUUUAGAACCCUAAACCUUUGUUUCAAAACCAUUAUAAAUAUCUCAUGAACAAUACUUUAAAAUAUGUGUCUUUGCUAAAUUAACAAUGAGGAAAGAGUAACAUGGUUUAAAUAUCAAGAAAUUGAGAAAGAAAUAGACCCUUAAGACCUUAGAUUACCAACUUGAUGAAACCCUAACUUGACUUGCUUGAGGGAAUUCAGAGAGCCUUUUGAAGUGUUUGAGAAGUUACUUAGAUUGUUUUUGAGUUCUAAUGACACCCUAAAGGGGUUAUUAGACGUGGGUUUUAAUUUGGGUAAGGGCAUAUGUACAAAAUGCCCUUAAAUUAAAAGCAAGAAAAGUGUCACCCUUGACUACAGGUCAAUCAGAGACUCAUAGCCACUUCUUAAGACUCAUCACCAUGAGUCAUAACCAAAAUAGUUUAUAGGACCCCAACACACUGUUGACCCGAUAACUCACUAGUAACACUUAUAAUGAAUCCUUACGACUCGUAAGGUCCAAUCAUUACCAACACAAAACCAAAUUGAGUAAGCUUUGAAAAUCCUACGUUUGCCCCCAAAAAAUCAUAACAAGUCCUCACGGUUCAUGGUGAGCCACUAGUACUCAGAGCAGAACUUUGCCACUAAAUUUCUUAUUUUGUUGUGAUUCCAUCUUAAUGACUCGUUAUGAGUCUUUAUGACUCAUACCCUCAAGUCGUACCCAAGAUAGAAACCCUAAAACCCUUUAUUGAAAAACUACUACUAAGGUCACUUGACCCAUCAAAACAUGUUAUGACUUAUCUAAUGAGUGCAAUACCCUGAGAAUCCAAACCAAUAUUAGAACCAUUCUUCGAUCUUAAGAGAAAUGAAUUAUAGUGAUUUGGUAGUUUUAUGAGAGAGUUUGAUGUGUAUUAAGGCCUCAAAUAACUCCUAGCUAUUGGACGAAUCAAAAUAUCCCUUACCAAUUGAGUUUUUGAGAAAGAUGUUGCUAUAGUCAACUUCAAAUGAGCAUAUCUUUUGUUAUACUAAUAAUUUUCCAAAUCAAGACCCACCUAAUUGUAGAUAAUUGAGUCAUCUUUCCAAAUAUACUAAUUUUACCUUAAUCUGAUGCGUAGAUGAAAAGUUAUAGCAUUUUUUAUGUGAGGAAGUAAGCCACCAUGAUUGUACCACAUUGUGGUGAGUCGUUAAAUCACACUCGUCCCUUUUUAGUAGGUCACAAUAAUUGGACAGUGUUACAUAAGAAAUUGCGGUAGAGCAAGCACUACGUUGUAUUAGAGUGCAAAUUCACACUCGUCCUUUUUCCAGUGAUGCAACACAAUAGCACAACAUUAUGCUGGAGUGCAAAAUCUCACUCGUCCAUUUUAUAGUGAUGCAAUGCAAUAGCACCGCAUCACACCAAGGGGUAAAAAUCAGGAUUCCAGUAGCAAUUUUAAGUUUUAGAAGGGUAUUUAAGUCAAUUACCCUUCACUAAUUCAUGAAAAUGAAAUAUUUAACCUAUUCUUAGCCUAGUACUCUCAUUAUUCAGCAAAAUUUGUCUCCAAUAAAACCCUAAAGCUUCAACUUUCAAGAUUAAUUCCAAUGAAAAAUCCACCUAGAACUUUCAAGGAUUCUUCAAUUAAGGUAUGUUAAAUGUUCAUCCAUGGGCCCUUCCACCUAUGGUGCCAAAGAACCUCUUUUAAAUUUAAAAGUAUGAUCUUUACUUGUUUUUUUAUGAAUUUUGUCCAUAAGUUCUCAUGAAUUUCGAUUUAUACCAAGCUUGAUAUAAAAUUGUUCAUGUAAUUGAAUCCUAAGUGGUUGAAUGGUGUUGUUCAUUGAUUAAAUCAUAAUUAUGGAUGUUGAUAUUGAAACCAUGAUAUUACUAGAAGUUUUAAACUAUUCCAUUGCUUAGCUUAAACUACGAAUGUCAAGUGUUUGAUGAAAUGCCUACAAGAAUGAGUUUGGAAUAAAUGUUUUCACAUUAUGUCCUUAAAGUUUUAGUAUGAUCUUGCUAUCGAGUCCAGGGGGUUUAAAUACCCGAAUUUUAGAUGUUUACCUAGUUUUUAGCAUCUAAAGAAUGGUCACAAAAUAGUUACAAGUCCUAUCAUUUCAGCCAGUUACUAUAAAUAGUUAAAACUAGUCAGUCCAGAGUUCAGUCUCUUUUAGUUGGGAGUAGGAUUUAGCACCGAGCGAGUGCAGGGAUGGUGGCUUCCCUGUAAGUUAGGAAUGAGUUGUUAGUAGAAAACCCUACACUCUAGAACUACAUAGCCAGUGUAGGAUAUGGGGAGUUACCCAUCAGUUAAGACUUGACUACCUCUUAGGGGUCACCCAUCUUUAGGAUUGACACUCUUAGUCCUUCGGGAUAGCACAUUAGUGGAUCCAUACAGCCAAGUGUUAGUACUCGUGGCAAGAUACUGACACCCUUCAAACCAGGGUAACAGGUUGGACCCUAAUUUGCUCAUUGGGGUAUGUCGAUUAAAUGAUAACUCCUAUAGUUUCAGUCUAGUAUUCAGCUCAGUAAUUUAGUUUUAGAUUUACUUGACCAUAGCAUAUAGAUACCAGUUAUUCAUUUAUCAGUAUUCAGUAUUUUAGUUUAUAGACUAUAUUCAGGACAUGUUUUAUGCUUGGUCAUGUAUUCUCAGCCUUUACAGAUUUUAUGUAUUUUGCUGAGUACUUCAUGCUAUACAUUCAGUCAGUUAUUAAUCAUGCACGUGAAACCAUGUAUAUUAGCCUAACCUUAGUUAGCAUACAAGUAUAUUCAAAUUACUGAUCGUACAAUCAUUUCUUGCGCUAUGAUAUUUAAUAUCUUAUGUUUGAAUGCUUAGUUCCCUGAUCGCGUAUAGACAUACCAGAUUAUCUGUUGUAGUAGUGGUGAGUCCUCAUACUUUGAGGACAUGGUUUAUUUAUCUCAGUUUACCUUACUAGUUUAGUAUUUUACUAAUCAGUCAAAUUUAGUUGGGGGUUUAUCCCAUUAGCUACACAGUCAGUCAAUAUAGGCUUUUCAGACUAGUACAGAUAAUUAGUCAGUUAUCAUCUAUUAUUGUCAGUUUUUCCAGUCUUGAUUUUAGAUGUUUUAGAACUUAAAACCUUAUGGAAUUUUUCAGUUAACUUCUGCGCAUGUAUUUUAUUUCUAGUAUGUUAUUCAAUGCUAACAACAGGUACCAGCUCAUGGGUUAGCUUGUGGUCCCUCGGGACUGUAAGUACUGUAUGGCACCAAGGGUGUACUCUUAGGGUUUUACAAACUUGGUCUCAGAGCCUUAGGUUUUAAAGUGUCCUAGGGAGUUUGAAAGUCAUAUUAAGUAGAGUCUUGCGCAUAGGUGUGAAGUAUGCCACACUUAUGGAUAGGAGCUUACAAGGAGUUUUAAGAAAAGUCUCCUUUCUUUAUAUAUUCAUGUCAUAUGACUGAGCAUGAGCUCAUGUUAAACUCUUUGUCUAAUCUAUUCUUCCUUCCACUUACAAAAUAUGCCUCCCAGAAAGACAAGCGGAAGAAUAAAUGUAAACCAGCUAGCUCCUUCACCCAUUCAAGAAGAUCCCCUGAAUGAAUAUAUUUCUCAUGUAGAGUUCACAGCUGCAUUCACUAAUCUAGCUUACUCUGUAGCAUCUCAAAAUAUUCAGCCAGUCGUUAUUCUCACCAACCCAGUGACCAAUACUGCCGUAGCUAGGAUUCAAGACUUUACCCGAAUAAAUCCUUCUCUGUUUUUAGGAUCCAAAUCUAAAGAGGAUCUAUAAAAAUUUCUCAACAUGGACCAGAAGGUAACAGACAUUAUAGGGGUGACUUCUAGUAAGAGUGCUGAAUUGGCUACUCACCAGCUGUAGGAGCCCAUACAAAGUUUAAGUAGUGGAAAUAGGAUAGAGGCGUAGAUACAAGGACUAUAAAUAGGGAGAAGUUUGUUGCAACCUUCUUAGAUAGAUUCUUCCUAUUAAAGCUGAGGGAAGACAAAUGUUAAGAGUUUAUAAACUUGAGGCAGGGCAACAUGAGUGUGAAGGAUUCUUUCCUUAAAUUUACUAGGCUAACUAGGUAUGCUCCUCGUGUGGUGAUUGAUAACAGGUCUAGGAUGAGCAAGUUCAUGUUUAGUGUAUCUGAUAGUGUGGUUAAGGAGUGUAGGACCGCAAUAUUAAUUAAAGAGAUGGACUUAGUGAGGUUGAUGGUCCAUGCUCAAUAGAUUAAGGAGAAGAAGACUAAGGAGAGAGAGGGAGAACAAGAGGGCUAGAAUAGAUAGCUUUAAUUUCACUCAGCUAAAGUCAAAGAGUGGAAACCAUCCUCAAUUUUGCCUAAAAUCUUUAGUCCCAACUCUGUCAUCGAUAGUGCACCAAUGUCCAAAUUUAUAAAUGAUAAUAGGGAUAGAGUGCCAGGCACUAAGUCUCAGGGUAGUGUGAACAGUUCUCGGACGAAUCCUCUUUACAAGAAACAUAGUAGAACCAUCAGGGUAUUUGUAAAGCUGGCAGCGACAUAUGUUUUGGGUGUGGUAAGCCAGGCCAUAGGAUUCGGGAGUAUUGGGUGGUUUCUCGGAAGGGAAGAGAUGUGUGCCAAACUGGCCAAUCUUAUCAGUCAUCGACUCUAGUAGGUUUUCUAUCUUAGCAGGGCACAGUUUCCUAGGCUACUAGUGGUCAACGUCAGAAUAGACUUUAUGUACUUCAGACCCGAUAGGAUUAGGAAAGUUCUCCUAAUGUGGUUACUGGUAUAUUACAAGUCUUUCAUUUAUAUGUUUAAGCCUUGUUAGAUCCCGGAGCUUCUCUUUCUUUUGUAACCCAUUACAUAGCUAUCAAAUUUAAAGUUAGUCUCAAAACUUUAACAGAUCCCUUCUUAGUAUAUAUCCUAGUAGGUAAAUCUAUCAUAGCUCGGUGGGUAUACAGAAACUGCCUGGUUACAGUGUCUCAGAAAGUUACCUCAUUAGAACUGGUAGAAUUAGAGAUGACAGAUUUUAAUGUUAUUCUCGGUAUGGAUUGGCUCUAUUUGUUCUAUGCUUCAGUUGAUUAUAGAAAUAGGGUUAUCCUCGAAUAGAGGGGUAGUACCAUAGUGCUUAGGGGUCAACGUGUUUCAUAUCUUAGAGUGAGAAAAAUGAUAUCCAAGAAGUGUGUCCAUCAUCUUGUGUGAGUCAAAGACUCUCGUUCUGAGACUUCCAAUCUUGAGUCAGUUCCAAUAGAAAGGGAAUUUCCAGAUGUUUUCCCUGAAGAUCUUUCUGGAGUUCCUCCCAAAAGGGAAAUUGACUUUGGAAUAGACCUUCUUCCUGAUACUCAGCCUAUUUCCCUUUCUCCAUAUAGAAUGGCUCCAGUCGAACUCAGAGAGUUAAAGAACAAUUGAAAGAACUCCUAGACAAGGGAUUCAUUAGGCUCAGCAUUUCCCUGUAGGGCACACCAGUCCUAUUCAUGCAUAAGAAAGAUGGUUCUCUUUGAAUAUGCAUAGACUAUUGUCAUUUGAAUAAUGUUACCAUCAAGAACAAAUACCCACUUUCCAAAAUCAAUGACUUGUUCGACCAACUUCGACAUGCCAGUUAUUUUUCUAAGAUAGAUCUCAUAUCCGGCUAUCACCAGCUCAGAGUUAAAGAAUAUGAUAUUUCAAAAAUGUGAUAUUUCAAAAAUAUCUUUUUGGACCUGGUAUGGUCACCUCGAGUUUAUAGUCAUUUCCUUUGGUCUUACAAAUGCCCUAGCAGCCUUCAUAGACUUAAUGAACUGAGUUUUCAAAUAGUACUUUGACAUAUUCACCAUAGUGUUCAUUGAUGACAUUCUUGUCUACUCCCAUAACAAAAAUAAUCAUGCAGACCACCUCAGAAUAGUAUUGCAGACUCUUAGAACCCAUCAGUUGUUCACCAAAUUCAGUAAGUGUGAAUUUUGUCUAAGGUCAGUAGCUUUCCUUAGUCAUAUUAUUUUUAGUGAUGUCAUUAAAGUUGAUCCUCAAAAGACCGAAGUGGUGAGAAAUUGGCCCAGAUUCAUUUCUUCAUCAGAUAUCAGGAGUUUUGGGCUUCGUUGGCUAUUAUCUAUGGUUUGUUGAAGGGUUUAAAUCUAUUUUAUCCCCUAUCUCCAGAUUGACUCAAAAGAAAGUUAACUUUUAGUGGUCAAAUUCUUAUGAAAAGAGUUUUUAGGAGUUGAGAACUUGACUCACCACAACCCUAGAUUUGAUGUUACCAGAUGGUUCAGAUGGGUUUGCUAUGUACUGUGAUGCUUCCAGAGUUAGUUUGGGGUGUGUUUUAAUGCAGAAGGGUAAAGUUAUGGCCUAUGCCUCUAGACAACUUAAGCCCCAUGAAAAGAACUACCCUGCCCAUGAUCUUAAGCUAGCUGCUGUUGUGUUUGCAUUAAAAAUCUAGAGGCACUAUCUUUAUGGGGUGUAUGUUGAUAUGUUCACGAACGACCAAAGCUUGUAGUAUGUGUUUUCAUAAAAGGAUUUGAAUUUACAUCAGAGGAGAUGGUUAGAAUAUUGAAAGAUUAUGACAUAAGUGUUACAUAUUAUGUGGUCAAGGCCAAUGUAGUAGUAGAUGCCCUUAUUAGACUGUCUAUGGGUAGUGUUACUCACGUUGAGAAUGAUAAGAAAGACUUAGUUCAGGAAGUUCAUCAUUUGUCUAGAUCAGGCAUUCAUUUGGUUGAUUCAGCUAAGGGUAGUGUAUGGGUUCAAAAUAGUUUAGAAACUUCUUUGGUUUUCAAAGUGAAAAAAAAUCAAGAUAGGGAUCCCAGUCUGGUGAAGCUGAAGGAGUCAGUCAGAGAUCAAAAAGUAUAGGUUUUCUCCAAAGGAAGAGAUGGUGUGUUAUGUUACCAAGGUAGGCUAUGUGUGUUGGGGGUUGAUAAGUUGAGACAGUGAGUUCUUGUAGAAGCACAUGGUUUGUGUUACUCUAUUCAUCCAAGGGCCACGAAGAUGUACCACAAUCUGUAAGAAAUCUAUUAGUGGAGUGGUAUGAAGAGGGAUAUUGUAGAGUUUGUAGCUAAGUGCUCCACUUAUCAACGGGUUAAGAUUUAACAUCAAAAGCCCAGUUGGUCUAUGCAGGAGUUCAGUAUUACCACUUGGAAGUGGAAGGAAGUGAACAUGGAUUUUGUUACAGGUUUGCCUCAUACUUGUCGUCAGCAUGAUUAUAUUUGGGUCCUUAUGGAUAGGAUGACAAAAUCUGCCCAUUUCUUACCAGUCCAUACUUUUUAUUUAGCCGAGGACUAUACCAUGAUUUAUAUUAGAGAGUUGGUUAGGUUGCACGGUGUUCCGUUAUAUAUCAUCUCAAAUAGAGGUACUCAGUUUACCUCUUAUUUUUGUAAAGCUUUCUAGAAGGGUUUUGGUACCCAAUUUCUCCCAUGAAGGGUUAAAUAAGUUUGGUAAGAAGGGGAACUUUGUAACCUCGGUUGUGUAGAAUAACCUUCAUAAAAUAAGGCACCCACGGACUAUAUGGGUCCAGCUCUCCCAUAGCUGGAUGGGCCCUAGUGCGUGUAGUUGUACGAACUAAAGAAUAUCCAUAUCUGUAUAUGCCAUCUUUGGGUACUCGAACCUCCUAUCAUAAUCAAGGUAACUUAGCACCAAUAUAUACAAUAUGGGUGACUCAAACCUCCCAUUCAUAUAUUUAUUUAGGGGACUCGAACGUUUCUAUCAUUUAGACACCCAUGUCGGCUAAUGCGGUUUCCAGCAUUAGUCCUUCGAACUCCAAUUUCAUGGACGGACUACACAGCCCGCUUUAAAUCAUAUUUAAAACAUUCUUUACACAUACACAUAACCAUUAUUCCAAUUACUUACCAAAGGCAUCCGUUGGUAUCGUCAUACCAACCUCACUUGCAAGUGUAUAAUAUGCCAUAGCCAUUAUCAUUCGACUUUGGGACUCAAACCCAUUGUCUAUACAUAGUCACCAAUUCAAUUUGACAUUUAGGGACUCAAACCCAUUUAGCCAAUUGCACCACUAAGGUUACAAUUUAAAACCAUUUAUGACCCACAGGGUCUUCAUGAAAGCAUUUACACCAUUGGGCCAAUGUCUUAGUUCAAAUCACAAUUCAAUUCAAUUUAUGGCCAUCAAGACCUUUACAAAACCAUUCAUCCUUCACUAACAUUCUUAUUCCAAGAAUUAUCUCAAAACACAACUCAUCAUGUGACAAAAUUCUUGUCAUAGAUAUUUUCACAAACAGGUUACGGCAUACCAUUAUCAAACCAUUAUUUAAGUCAAAAAGCAUCAUGUUAAGCUUAACCAUGACCCAUUUAGUAAACCACAAUUUCCAUGAACCCACAUGUCCAAAACAUUCAUAAAAAUAUGUAUAAACACAAGUGAAAUCAUGAGAGAACAAUACUCAACAAUAUGUAUUCAAACCCACAAUCAUGGACUUCAAAACCACUAAUUAUGAUUCAAGAACAAUAUUUAAAACAUAUGAUUUUAUGAACUAACAAUGAGGAAGGAGUCACAUGCCUAAAUUAUGAAGUUUCACAGAGAGAUUUCGAUUCUUAGUCCUCUAGAUGACCACCUUGAGGAAACCCUAGCCCAAAUAUCCUAGGGAGAUUUCUAGAGAGUUUUUUAGAGUGUUUAGAUCUUCCAAAGUGAAGAUUAAGGGAAAAAAUAGUGUAAUAAGAUGUGGGUUAUUAAGAGCUUAGGGUGGGAAAUGUCUAAAAUACCUUUAUCUUAAAAGCUGUAAAAGACUCGCAGGAGGGUACGGUUGGACCCCCUUACUCGCACCCACAUCAUACUAGUGGUACCUCCCACUCGUACAUUGAUCAGAAAGUUGGACAUCAUAUUCUGUCCAAUAUACGACUCCAUAGACUAAUGUGUACCCUAACCAUAUGACUAGUACCCUUUAAGUCGUACCCUAAGCAGCAUGUCAAGAUUAAACAUUGAAUAAGAUAUCGUUUGGACCAUACUACUUGUAUCAUGUACAUACGACUUAUAUGGAAUCUUCUCGUACCAAGAAUGGAACUUAUCCAAUAUGACACUGACCAACAUACGACUAGGGUCCUUGACCCAUAGCCAUAUCAAACGACUAGUAUGGUGAGUCAUAUGAUGCAUAGAUGGUUCAAGACUCGGGAAAUUUUUGCAAGGUAGGUCCAAAGUUUGGGGUGUUUCAAUCGGGGUCUGUCCCAAUUUGUUAUUAGUAGUUUAGUGUGUUAAACUUUCUAGAGGAUUUAUGGAUAGUAUGCAGUGUUGUAUUGUAUAGUAUUUGUUCAUGUAACCCCCUCGUGAGUAUAUACAGCUCAUACUAGAUAUAUUAUUUGUUAUUAUUUUAUAAUCUUGGCAAAAUGGUUCGAUGGACCCUUGUACUGUGUCCGUUUUGUAAUGUGGACACUUCUACUUACAUGUUUUUCAUCUGGACCCUUGAACCCACUAAAAAGCAAUAUUUCAAACCAUUUGACCGUUGACCAUGCCUAUGUGGCAUUAAAAGUACUGACUAGGAUAAGGCCUGUGUAGGCACGCACCUAGGGUGCGAGUGGGCAUCAAUUUUUUUAUCAAUUUUAUAUUAAAAUAGUUUUAAAAAAUAAAAAUAAUAUUAAAAUUAAAAAAGGUCCUUUUUUCCUACCAUUUUUUUAAAAUUAAAUAUAUUUUUAAAAUUUAAAAAUAAUAAAUUUAAAAAAAUAAAUAAAACCCCCCUCCCCAACCCCCCUACCCGUCUAGCCCACUCCACCCUUCACCCUCAUCCAGCCCCCUCCCCCUACCAAGCCACCACCCCACCCCUCACCCCUGUCCAGCCCCUCUCUCCCCUCCUCCUCUUUCGUUCAGCCACCCCUAUGAUGUUCUAGUUUUUGAUAGAAUAUUUUACAUUUUUUUCAAAGGAUAAUUAUAUGUUUUCAAGAAACUAAUGUUGUAUUUAAUACUGGAUUUUAGUGUUUUUAGGUUAAGGAGCCAGAUGAAGGGAAGACUUGGAAAAUGCAGAAAAAGGCCACUUACGGUCAAACUGGAGGAUCGUUAGCCAUGUGAUGAACCGCCAGGGUGGUUGCCAGAGUAAAAUAGAAGGGAGUAGUUGAGUUGUCUCAUUAACGGUCCAAGUGGAGGACAGUCAACCAUUCGACGCACUGUUAACUUGUCCGUCAGGGCAAAACAGAACAUGGCAUCUUGGAGGAUCAAGUGACGGCCCAUGCGAUGGAUCGCCAGGACAGCGACGGUUCACUAACAUAACCGUUAACCCUUAAUAGAACCUGACAUUCUGGAACCAUCAGUGAUGGUCCACGCAAUAGAUCGUUAGGCUUUCAACGAGCCACCAGCCUGACUGCCAACUUGGA
RNAcentral lists this long non-coding RNA (47728 nucleotides) under Capsicum annuum. Its description in RNAcentral is "long non-coding RNA (CANN_LNC013935)". The record is from RNAcentral. Lineage: Eukaryota; Viridiplantae; Streptophyta; Magnoliopsida; Solanales; Solanaceae.